RNAcentral lists this long non-coding RNA (67948 nucleotides) under Vitis vinifera (wine grape). Its description in RNAcentral is "long non-coding RNA (VVIN_LNC007128)". Lineage: Eukaryota; Viridiplantae; Streptophyta; Magnoliopsida; Vitales; Vitaceae. The record is from RNAcentral.
CCGAUCUAUCGCCACCUUCACUUCCUCCGAUUCCGAAACCCUAGUUUACAUCGGAACCCAGUCCGGUUCCCUAAUCCUCCUCUCUCUCAACUCCAAUUUCCCCUCACUUUCACACAGUUCAAACGCCUCAACGGCCAACGCUGCCAAAAAUGUUCCCUCUCAUUUGCGGAGCGUUUCGGUGUGUGAUUCACCGGUGGAUUCCAUUCACGUUGUGGCCGACAUCGGGAGGGUUCUGGUGCUUUCUGAUGGGUUCAUGUUCUUGAUGGAUUCGCUUUUGAUUCAGCCAGUGAAGAGGCUGAGUUUUCUCAAGGGGGUGGCCGUGAUUUCCCGGAGGUUGCGGACCGGCGAUGCUGAAAGUUUAGAUUUUUCGGAGAAUGUUUCGGGUUUGGUGGAGUCUUCGAGUGCGAGUCAGCGGUUUCUGAUGAAAUUGGGUAGUGGGAUUAGGGCCAACGGUGCGAAAGCUCGGGAAUCUGAGCACUUGCGGGACGGUAAUCGCGUGUUUGCCAUAGCUGCUGCUAAGAAAUUGGUAUUGGUAGAGCUUCUUUUGGUCAAUAGAUUAGGUAGGAGUGAUAGGGAGAUUGAUAGUGCUGGUGGGGGUGCUUCUUUUGUGAUUUUGAAGGAAAUUCAGGGUGUUGAUGGGGUCAGGACCAUGGUUUGGAUUGAUGAUUCGAUAAUUAUAGGUACUUCUAGUGGUUACAGUUUGAUUUCGUGUGUUUCGGGGCAGUGCAGUGUUCUAUUCUCGCUUCCGGAUCCAACUAGUAUGCCUCACCUUAAAUUGUUGAGGAAAGAGCAUAAAGUGCUUCUGUUGGUUGACAAUGUGGGAAUAAUUGUUAAUGCUUAUGGGCAACCAGUUGGUGGGAGCUUGGUGUUUCGCCAUUUUCCGGAUUCUGUGGGGGAGAUAUCUUCAUAUGUAGUAGUUGCUAGUGAUGGGAAGAUGGAAUUGUAUCACAAGAAGUCGGGUGUUUGUAUUCAAAUGGCUUCAGUAGCUGCAGAAGGAUCUGGUAUGUCUGUUGUUGCGGAUGCAGAAGAUGCAAGUGGGAAUCUUGUUGUAGUUGCAACUCCAUCCAAGGUGUGCAAGCCUUUUUUUAUUGGUUCAAUUCUAUGAUUAUUCUGUUGUGGGUGAUUCGAUAUUUAUUUGUGUCAUUGAUGAGAACAGAGUUUAUCCAUUAGUCUAAACUUUAAUAAGAGUCAGUAGAGUUUAUCACUUUGUAUUGUCUGUUUUUUGUGUGCCUGUGUGUAAAAGUAAUGCAUGCACAAUAUGAACACUUUAAUUAGAGAAGGUUUUAGUAUUCGAGGUUUUGAUCAUGGUGCUCUUUAUUCAAGGAUAAAUGCAUAAAAUACCUUGUGUGAUGGAAAAACAACAGUUUAGAAUCUCAAGGCGAGAUGAAGUGGCUUUCCUAUUAGGGGAGCAACAAGCUCUCGACUGAUAAUGUCAACCAAAUUAUUUCUUUAUAGGAAAAUAGAAUAUUAUAGAAAAACCCUUUCCAGAAAGGGAGUAUAUAAAGAGAGUACAUGCAUAUACAUAUAGAUAGAUAGAUAGAUAGAUAGAUAGAUAGAUAGAGAGAGAGAGAGAGAGAGAGAGAGAGAGAGAGAGAGAGAGAGAGAGAGAGAGAGAGAGAGAGAGAGAAUGUGACUUACUUAUAGAUCUCUAAAUUUGUCUUGAUCCAAUAUAAUGUAGGCUCAUUCAAUCUUGGCCCAAUUUAGCUCACUCAGAGAGAGAGAAUGUGACUUACCUAUAGAUCCCUAAAUUUGUCUUGAUCCAAUAUAAUGUAGGCUCAUUCAAUUGUGGCCCAAUUUAGCUCAUUCAUUCCUAGCCAAUAUGAUGUGGCCUAAGAGAGAGAGAGAGAGAGAGAAUGUGACUUACCUAUAGAUCCCUAAAUUUGUCUUGAUCCAAUAUAAUGUAGGCUCAUUCAAUCUUGGCCUAAUUUAGCUCACUCAUUCCUAACCAAUAUGAUGUGGGCUCAUUCCAUCCUGGCCUAAUACAAUUUAGGCCCUCUUGCCCUUGCUCAUGUACUCUUACCUUUAUCCUUGUUUUUUUUCAUCUUAUUUAAUUUAAUUUAAUUUUAUUAUUUUUACUUUUAUUUGUGAUUUAUUAUUUUUCCUCUUAUCUAUCUUUCAAUUUUUAUUUUAUUUUAUUUUAUUUUUUAUUUUUUUUAAUAGGUAAAGAGAAAGAGAUUAACAAUGCCUAAAAAGAGGGCAUACCAAGGUAGACACAAUGUAUACAAUAUGCACCAAAAGGCAAAAUAAAGGGGAAAGCUAACCAUAAAAACUUUCACCCUUCACUUGGAGCUAUGCCAAUCAACAAAGUCUUAACAUAGUUAAAGAACAGUUAUUGGUUGGCGCCCUGACUCAUUCUAACAAAGUGCUCUUAAAAACAAAUUUGAAUGCUUUGUCUAACUAUUAUACAUCUUCGAAAGGUAUCCUAUUUCUUUCCUUCCAAACCAUUUAAAACACGCACAAGGGAGCUACCCUUCACGCCUUUUUCUACUUUUUUCCUAUGAAGGAUCUAUGUUGAAGGAUUCCUCUUAUUGAAGCAUGCAACACCCAAGCCACUCCAAACAACAACAAAAAUUAGUUGUCUUAAAAUGUUUGCCUUAAGGUAGUGAAUGAGGAUGUAAUAAGUUGAUUCUUCAUCCUUUUUGUAGAUGUUACACUUGUUCUGUAUAACCUAUCCCCUCCUUUUGAGCUAGUCAAUCGUCAAAAUCCUAUCCUAAGUAGCUUCCUUAGUGAAAAAUGCCCAUUUUCGUAGGAGCCCAUGAAUUCUAUACAAUGCUUGUGGGAAAAGACUCCCUAUUAGUCUAAACUAGGGAGGAAUAAAAUGACUUAGUAGAGAAAAUGCCUCCAUUGGAGACCUUCCAACUCCUUUUAUCCCAUGCUUCCCCUUUGGUACAUAUUGGUUAGAAUCUUUGAAGGAAUUGCCUAGAGAAGCAAGGAGUCCACUUACUUCCCUCUCCUACCAGCUCCCACAUCUCUGCUACCUAGGAGUCCUUAGUAGAGGCUACAAAAAGUAGAUCUAGGAAUGACUCCUCUAAUUAAAGGUCUUUGCAUUGCUUGUCCCUCCAAAGCUUAACCCUUCUCUCUGUUGCCAACUAUAGGCAAGAUUUGCUUUUAAAAUCCUUCCAACCACUUUUAAUAGCUUUCCAUAAGCCCAUGCCAUAACCAUCCCUCACAUCUCUAGAGCACCAUCCUCUCUUCUUUCCAAAGCUUUCCUACUAUCACCUAUUUUCAAAGGGACUCUCGCUCUCUCUCUUUUGAAUCUUUGUUUUCACUUACCAAUGAGGACCUUAUUGAUGAGAUUGAAUUUUUGAUUCCAAGGCCCUAGUUCUUUUUAUCUAAGUGGAUAAUAGCCCAAUUAAUGAAAUGAGGUUUUUUUCUAGGGCCCCUCCAUCACAAAGAAAAUCUCUUUGAAUUUUCUCCAAUUGUAAACUCACCCUUCUAGGAAAUACAAAUCAUGUCAUGAAAUAGAUAGGAAGGCUAUUUCAGGUGUACUUCAGGCUUUCUUUUUACAAUUGCUUUUACUUAUCAAAAAAAAAAAAAAAAAAAGAUAGGAAGGCUAUAUAAUUUGCUUUUGAUUAAAGUGUACCUCUCUCUUUUUGAGAGGUAUUGGCUCUUCCACACCGCUAACCUUAACUGAAAUCUCUCCUUUAUCACAUCCUAAACCCUUAAGGACUUAUGGGGAGCUCCCAAAGGAAAUGCCAAAUGUGUGGAAGGCUUCCAACUUUACACUACACUCCUAACACCACAACAAGCUCCACCACAUUAGCAACUUCCCCAAUAGAGAUUAGUGUGCUUUUCUCGAAGUAUUUUCAAACCCGAAAUAACCUAAAAUCACAUAAGAGUCUAACUAAAAAAUUCCAACUACUCAAGGUUGUUGUCAUAAAAGCUUAAAGUAUCAUUGACAAAUAGAAGAUGAGUCAACUCCAACCACUCUCCUCCUCUGCUGCCACCUUGAAACUUGGAAAGAAGCCCCCUUCUUUCAUUCUUAGUAGCAUCUAACUAAGUGACUCCAUGGUCAAGAUGAAUAAGAAAGGAGAAAGGGGAUCCCCAUGACCCCCUAGAACUCUAAAAGAAACCAGCUAGAGUCUCGUUAACUAGAACAAAAAAUUUUGUUGUUGAAAUGCACCAUUUGAUUGAAUUGACCCACUUUUGGCCAAAACCCCAUCUUUUCCAUGCUUGCGACCAAGAAGUCCCAAGUGAUGUGAUUGCACACCUUUUCUAUAUCCAACUUACAAAUGACCUCCCUAUUAAAAUUUUUUAUCCGUGAAUUAAUAGCUUCAUUUGGGAUAAGGAUGACAUCCAAAAUUUGUUUACCCUUCACAAAAGCAUGCUGAAAGAUUGAAACCACCUAAUCAACUACCUUUUUGAGCCUAUUGGCCAAGACUUUCCCUUAAAGUUUAUACAAGCCCCCUACCAGGCUGGUUGGCUUAAAAUCUUUUAAAUCCUUUUCCUUCCCUUCCCCACCCCCCCUGCCUCGCUGCCUCCCUCCCUCUUUGAAAUCAAGACAAAAAAAAAUGGCAUUUAAGCUUCUCUCAAAGGAGCCAUUAUCAUGGAAGUCUUUAAAAAAAUCCAUCACCUCUUACUUAACAAACUCCUAAUCAAAUUGCUAAAACACCAGGGUGAAGCCAUCAGGCCUUGAGCCUUCUCCCCACAUAGACUAGACAAAGCUAAAAAACUUCCUCCUUGGAGAAGGGGGAUUCUAAAGACCUAGCAUCCUUGUGCUCCAAAGAUACAAAGCUCAUCCCCCUUAUGUUAGGUCUUAAAUCUUCCAAUUUGGACAAGAGAGAUUGAAAGGCCCUAACCAUGCCUUCUUUAAUUUCUACAUCCUCAACAAGCUAUUAAUUGUUAAUUUGGACCUUGUUUCUAGUUUAUUUCUACUUUUAUCUUUAUUUUUUUCUUCAUUUUUUGAACUUUAUUUUGAAUUUAUGAUUUGCAUUUUUUUGGCUCUUGUGUGGAAAAGAGGAGAGAGAAGGUUAGAUUAUAAAGGAGGACAGGGAGAGUGGAUUAAGGGGAUUAGGCCUUUGAUUAGGAGAAGAAAAGGAACCCUUUUUUUUUCUUUUUAAAAUUCGAAAAUAAUUAAGAGAAAAAAUCCUAGUAAAAGAUAAUGGAAAGGAAUGAUUGGCUUGAUUUUGGGGUUGAAAAAGGACGAUUAAAAGUCUAAGAUAGGAGAAAGCAAAGAAGAAAAAGAUAUUAGAAAGGAGGCAUUUUGACUGGAGAGGGAAAAGGAAACUAAUUGAAACUUCAAAUUUGAUUUGAGUCAAUAAAAAAAGGUAAAAAGUUGGGAGGGGGUUGGGGGGAGAGAGGAAAUCUUAGAAUUUUGAACACAUGUUGAAGAUUUCUUAUUUNNNNNNNNNNNNNNNNNNNNNNNNNNNNNNNNNNNNNNNNNNNNNNNNNNNNNNNNNNNNNNNNNNNNNNNNNNNNNNNNNNNNNNNNNNNNNNNNNNNNAAAGAGAUUCACGAUAAAGCGGGGAGGAAAAAAAAAGGGGACUGUGGGGGAUUUUGAGAGUAGAACGGAAGGAGGUUUUUGCCACAUGCAUAUAUGAUUUUCUUUAGAGCAUCAAACGAAAAGAAGAGGGCUAGAAUAUUCCAACCAAUCAAAGAUGAAGUUGUCUUCAUUCCUUUUUUGGUUAAUCUCCUUUCCCUCAUAAAUCAUUGUCUAAUCUCAUAGUCACAUCAUCAAAUCUAUGUCAUUUUUUUUUAUAGAUGAGAAAGCAAAUGCAUUAAAAGCACAUGGAAAAGGUGCACCAAGUACACAUGGAGUAUAUGAAGAGCAUCAAAAGGAUACAAAGGGAAAAAGAGAAACAACAAACCAUAGCUCAAACCAAAAACAAUGACCUAUGGAUCUAUAGAAAUAGAGGGCUCCAAAAUGACCUAUAAUUAAGAUCAAAAUCUGCCACUUGACAAAGGCCAUCAAAUCGCCUCAAAACAAGCAACAACUACUUGCUUCAACAAAUACCACUCCCCCAAGCCAGUAUCUGACGUGGCUACCUACUAUUCCUUUGAAAAAAUCGAGCAAACAAACUACUAUGAAUCCCUUUCAAGAUUUGAAGAGAAUGUAAUCAUCCUCUUCUCCACUCCGGUCCCCUUAUUGUGUCUUUGGCCUAGACACUUAGAAACCAAUUCCCACCACUCUUCUUGCUCCUUCUCCCUUUUCCACUUGAUUGAUUGUAGUUAAUUGAACAACUUCCAAAGCUCCCUUUCAACGCAAGAUGUAGAGAAAGGCCUCCCCUUAGUACUCGAGGUCACCACUUUACAACCCUUUUUGGCUUCCAACUUUCUCAACAAGGACGCUACUUCCUUCUCACAAUUGUUCACUGGCAAACCCAACCACUCCAUAAAGGAUACAAAAUUCUUGAAUGACAGGUUAGAGAAAUUCUUGUCACCCAUCAUGUCCUUACUAGGGCUAUCCUUUCUUAAAACCAUCUUUUCACUGCACAAAUCAGGGUUUGCGGACUUGGCCGCAUAGUGAAUAUUUUGGAAGUUCACAACCAAACCCUUAUUGGAAAACCAGCACAAAGGCCCACAACCACCACCCUUACUUUCUAUUGAAAAUCCUUCAUCUUGAUUCCUUCAAGAAACUAAGUUAUUGGCCAUCACCAUCAAUGCACCCUUGUCUUUGAAAUUAGAAGAAGAAGAAAAAGGGGAAGUCCUGAUCCCCAACAGGAAAGCAAAAGAUGAGUCAUUACUUGCAAAGCCAUUUUCUUUAACCUAGUCCUUUUUGGAAAGGAACUUAUCAUGUAGAUAUUCCUCCUGGAUUUCCUUCCCAUGGUUUUGUUGUGUGCAUGCUCAAAAAAUAGAUGUUUAUACAUGUUCAAUAUGACAAUUUGUUUUGGUUUGACAAAGAGAGACACCUCCACUCUAGGGGCACUCAGGAGUUGGUGAUAGGGUUCUUGUCACUCAUCUGCUGUUCGAUGACAAUAUGCUGGUCUUUUGCGAGGCUUCCCAUGAUCAGAUGACUUAUUUAAGCUGGUUGUUGAUGUGGUUUGAAGUCAUCUUAGGUCUGAGAAUCAAUUUGGAUAAAAGUGAAAUUUUGUCGAUAGGGAGAGUAGAGAAUCUAGAGGCUUUGGUUCUCGAGUUUGGUUGCAAAGUGGGGAUGCUCCCAUCUACUUACUUGGGGCUUCCCUUGGGUGUGCAGUACAAGUCCAUUGUAGUUUGGGAUGGGGUGGAGGAGAGAUUUCGGUAAAGGCUUGCCAUGUGGAAGAGGCAAUUUAUCUCUAAAAAAGGGAGAAUCACUUUGAUUUGGAGUACUUUGUCUAGUAUGUCCAUUUACUUUAUAUCUUUAUUGUGUAUUCCAAGAGUGGUUAGAUUGAGAUUGGAGCAAAUUCAAAGAAUUUUUUCGUGGGGUGGGGAGCUAUGGAGAGGAAGCUUCAUCUUGUAAAGUGGGCUACUGUCUAUUCGGACAAAAGAAAGGGUGGUUUGGGAGUUAGAUGUCUUUCUACUUUCAAUAGGGUCCUUUUGUGUGAGUGAACUUGGCGUUUUGCGACUGAAAGGGAGACUCUUUGGAAGCAAGUUAUUAGUAGGAAGUUUGGGGAGGAAGAAGAGGGGUGGGAUACCCGGGAAGUGAAGGAGGGGUUUGGUGUGGGGUUUUGGAAGGAAACCAGGAAGGAAGGGUCUUUAUUGUAAAACAAAGUUGUAUUCUCUGUGAGGGAUGGUAGAAGAGUGAGAUUUUGGAAGGAUGAAUGGUGUGGGAACAAUGCUCUUUGUGAUUCUUUCCCAUCUUUGUAUGCUUUAGUGGCUUCUAAAGAGGCUUGGUUAGUGGAGUUGUGGGACUAAACGAGUGAGGAAGGGGGUUGGAGUCCUAGGUUCUCUAGGCCCUUCAAUGAUUAGGAGGUGGAGAGGUUACUUGUGACAAUACAAGGAAGGAGGCUUAAUUCUACUUUGGAAGAUAGGGUGCUGUGGAAAGAGACUAAGGACAGGAUUUUUUCUAUCAAAUUUCUUUAUAGUGUUCUAGAUUCAAGAAGUGUUGUUCAGUUUCCAAAGAGCAUCAUUUGGAGCCCUUGUGUUCCUACUAAAGUGGGUUUUUUUUUUGCUUGGGAAGCGUCUUGGGGUAAGGUGUUAACUUUGGAUCAACUAAAAAAGAGGGGGUGGACCUUAGCUAAUAGAUGCUUCCUUUGUUAUGCGGAAGAAGAGUCUAUUGAUCAUAUUCUAAUUCAUUGCAUCAAGGCAAGAGUUUUAUGGGAGUUAUUGUUUGCUCUUUUUGGAGUGAUUUGGGUCCUUCCAUAUUUGGUUAAAGAUACUCUUCUUGGUUGACAUGGUACCUUCAUGGGCAAGAAGUGUAGUAAGGUGUGGAUGUCAGCCCCCUUAUGUCUUUUUUGAGCGGUUUGGAAGGAAAGAAAUAAAAUUGCUUUUGAAAAUGAGGAGCUUUUGAUUCAUAGGAUGAAAAGUUCUUUUGUAUGUAAUUUUUGGUCUUGGACUAAGUUGGUUAUAGAUGAAGGGCCUUUACCGUUAAUAAACUUUUUUGAUUGGUUGGGUUCUAGAUGAGGGAUGGUGAAUUUUUUGUAUCCCCUCUUUUUUUUUGUUCUUGUCUUUUGGCGCCUCUUGUAUACUCCCCUGUUUGCUUUGGGUUAGCCUUCAGGCACCCUUUUCUCUCUUCAUAUAUAUAUAUUUUUGGAAUGGCUCGCCGUUCCUUAAGGGGUGGUGAGUGUUGGUUUUUGUUUUGGCUACUAUGUAUAUGUCCUGUAUGCUUUGGGGCUUUUUGCCUUGUUUAAUAUAUUUGCGCUCACAUAUCAAAAUAUAUAUAUAUAUAUAUAUAUAUAUAUAUAUAUAUAUAUAUUUUUCUGUGCUUUACUUAUAUAAAAAAAAAAAGAUUCCGUAAUAUCUUUUGCCUUAAAACUUUUACAUUUUUUUUUCCCUUUUUUUUGUUUCUGUCAUUAGCUUCUGUUUUCUCUGCCUAAGAUAUCUCACCCUGAUUCCUUGUGUACCUAUUGCUCUUUUAAUUCAACUUCCAUUCCUACAAAAUAGAAUUAUGCACCAAUGAUUCUUUAAAGAAAAAGUGCCUAUAGAUUUCACUCAAUUUGGUAUAUCUUGCAAAGAAUAUUGCAUCUGAAUAUAACAUGAUCUGUAGACUAUGACUGUACAGUCCAAAAUGAUCUGUGUUGUAACACUCUUCUCAUCACAAAAAUAUUUUACUUAAGAUAUGUGUGAUUGGAUUGUAGCUACCAUUUCUACAUGCUGUCCAAGUUGCUGGGGCCAUGGUUGUCUUCCUUCUAAUUUGUUUGAGUAUUGAUUUCUUUAUUUUUGAUCUGCCUGCAAACAGUUUCAUAAGUACAUCAUUUGCUCAAGCAUCAUAUUUUGUGAUCCCAUAAUGGCCAUAUGCUACACCUAGAUGUGUGCAUAAGUUGGAAGAUUGUUUGAAAAUUUACCUGUUUCAUGGUGAAUAAUUUUUUAGGUUAUUUGCUACCGUAAAGUGCCUUCAGAAGAACAAAUUAAAGACCUUUUGAGAAAGAAGAACUUCAAGGAAGCCAUCACCUUAGUGGAGGAGCUUGAAUCUGAAGGUGAAAUGACGAAGGAGAUGCUUUCAUUUGUUCAUGCUCAAGUGGGGUUCCUCUUGCUCUUUGAUUUGCAUUUUGAGGAAGCAGUGGAUCACUUUUUGCAGUCAGAAACAAUGCAGCCUUCUGAAAUAUUUCCAUUCAUAAUGCGAGACCCAAACCGCUGGUCUCUUUUGGUAUAUCUUUUACAGACUCAUGUCCAUGUCUUUGCUGUCAAUGCAUUUCUUAAUGGUCAUUUCUUUUAUUUGGUAUUUUAUUAGCUGAUGUACUAUGUUGAUAGAUCCUUUGGCAUAGGCCAGUGCUCAAAACAACAUUAUUCAUUUCUAGUCAUACUUUGCUAUGGAGCUGUCCUGGAUUUAUUUAUAUCCCAAUUUCAUGUGCUUUUGAGUAGCAUUUUUUGGUUGAUUUCCACAAAAAAUUUCAUUUAAUAUUUUCUCUCCUUUGAAAAUGGGGAAGGAUGCUCUUAUGUUUUUUUCAUUGACAAGUAAAGAACUACAUUAAAAUUGCCUAGUGAAAGGGUGCAUUAAAAUACAUGGCAUAUACAAGGGUGUCAAAAGUCAAAGAACAAAAGAGUAAAACAGAGAAAUCACUCCCUCAGCUUACUUGUAGCCUAAUCAAUCAACAAAGUCUUCCAUAAAAAUAGACAUCUCCUCUAACCUACUCCAAAAAAUUACACAUAAAAAGAGGUUUUAAGCUCUUGAUUUGAGUCUUCCACAUUGUCCAAUGACUUGAUUUCUGUCCUACCAAAUAGUCCAAAACAAACACAGAGGUGCAGCUUUCAAUGUUUUCUUCUGCUUCUUCUUGUCAAAGUAUCCAUUCCAACUUAGAAGGGUAGUUCUUACUCCACACUCGUACUAUUCCAAACAAGGAGAAGACAAACUGCCAUAGGAUUCUUGCUUUGGCACAAAUGAGGAUAUGCUCAGCACAUUCUUUCUCACCUUUAUACAUAAAACAUCAAUUCACCAAAGUGCAUCCUCUCAUUUUAAUUGAUCGAUAGUAAAAAGUUCUUUUCCAAAUUAUCUCCUAGGCAGAAAGCCUACUCUUGUUGGAACCCAUGGAUUCCAAAUAACAUCCACAAAAAAAGGCUCUAUCCCCCCUGUACCAUCCAAGAAUAAUAGGAUUUAACUGAGAAGUUGCCCCUAUUUGAAACCAUCCAGACCAAACCUAUCCUUGCAAUCUCAAUAGGAAGGCUUCAUAUUAAGGUGUCCUAUUAUGUUAAUACUGUUAAUGAUGCUUGAUGCUACCUUACUGUUGGGCUAUUCCUGCUGGCUACGAUAGUGGUGAAACACUAUUGAGGAAUUCACAUAUUACUUGCAAGCUCUUCCUCCGAUCUAUUGGAAUGAUGUUCUUAUGUUAAUAUUAUUACUGUUCUGGACAAUUGUUGUUUCUGACAGUUAUGAGAUACUUAAUCUUGAUACACUUAGUGAUAGAGAAUACAAGGUGCGUCACCCGUUAUAUUUUCUAGAGCUUUUCACUGAAACUAUUUUUUUUAUUGAUUCUAUUUUUAAGGGAGUAGUUUUUUCUAACACUUCUCAAUGAAAUAAUAAAGGGUCAAUAAAAUAUGACAUGGUAUUUAUGCUAGUACAACUGAGCAAUUGAUUCUAAUAUGUUGCAAAAGGAUGGAACAUUGUUGAUGAUAUGUGGUAUUGAAGAUGAAAGCAUUAUUACUUUUCUUGCUUGUAUAUAAUUAAUCUGUGUUGAUCUCCUUAUGUUGGUAUUUGCAAAAUCUAAAAUCAUAUCAUUGAACUUAUGAUUCAGGUUCCCCGGAAUCGGUAUUGGGGUUUGCAUCCUCCCCCUGCACCUCUUGAAGACGUUGUGGAUGAUGGAUUGAAGGCUAUCCAAAGAGCUAUUUUUCUUAGAAAAGCAGGUGUAGAAACCCCAGUAGAUGAUGAUUUUCUUUUGAAUCCACCAAGUAGAGCUGAUCUAUUGGAAUCAGCUAUCAAAAACAUUAUCAGGUGUAUAUACAUUUCUUGUGUUUGUCUUUUUAUUUUUUUUUGUUCUUAUCAUUAUUAUUACUGUGUUGGGUUUCAAAUUAGGGUAAUCAUAGAUUAUUCUUAAUAGAAUCUGGGUAAAAUAAUCCAUAUGUUUUUAAGUUUGCAUUUUAAAUAUUUUAUUUACUUUAGUUUCAUGGUUGUGGCUUGUGACUAAUGCUAGUUUGAAUACAAUUCUCUUUGUCUCAUCUGUUACAGGUAUCUACAGGUUUCACGCAGGAGGGACUUGACUUUGUCAGUGAGGGAGGGAGUUGAUACACUUUUGAUGUACCUCUAUAGAGCCCUAAAUAGUGUGGAUGACAUGGAGAAGUUGGCAUCUUCUGAAAACAGUUGUAUUGUGGUAUGUGCCAAAUUAGAUUUGCUCUAAGGUAUUCAUAUUCUUGCAAUAUUUUCAAAUCCGGAGCAUUGAGGAACCUGUGAAAUGACUUUAUUUAUGUCAUAUAUAAGUUGAUAAACAAAAAAUAAAACAGAAGAAAAACUGAAAAAGAGAGAAGUUUGAAAAAGAUUUCCCAAUAUACUUUGCCUAAUACCAAAAGGCAAAAGGAAAAAACUAUUUAGUUAUAUAAUAAGAGUAGAUAAAUUGGGCCUUACUAAAAGAAUAUAAAUAAUUAAUAUUAACUCACCUUGACAUCAUUGGUAUGUCAAAUCUGAAAGUGGGCUUUGCAUGUCAUACGCCUUAAACUGGGCUCUCUCUCUUGGGACUGUGAUUGUUAUGUUGACUAACUGCUAAAUUUGAAGGAAUUUCACUAAAAAGUCAUGAACAAUAGUGUAGGGGUUUCAAAAACUUGAAGGGGGACUAAUUGAUGGUAUGGACUAUUUCAACCAUCCAAUUUGUUCCGGGUUUGAAAACAUUGUAUCCUGGGUUAGUUAUAGAGUCAAAAUCAAAGUAGUUUAUAAGCCUCAAGACAAUGCGCUAUGUCGAAUGUUGGUAAACAGCGGAAUCUUAGUAUUCCAAUGCAUUGCAAAACAGAGAGGCUGUUGUCCGAAGCCUGCUUGAAGGAUGACCGUACAACUUGCAUGGGCGGUGCAGGAGGAGUUAGAAACUUUAUUGGAUGAAUCUGGACAUUUGCGGACACUUGCCUUCCUGUAUGCAAGUAAAGGAAUGAGCUCAAAGGCUCUUGCUAUUUGGCGUAUUCUAGCCAGAAAUUAUUCAUCUGGCCUCUGGAAAGAUCCUGCAGUGGAGAGUGAGCUUCUGGAUACAAAUGCAAGUACUCUCUCUGGCAAGGAGGCUGUUGCAAUUGAGGCCACAAAGAUCCUUGAAGAGUCAUCUGAUCAAGAUUUGGUCCUGCAACAUCUUGGAUGGGUAUGCCAUUUUGUGUUUAGAAUUUUUACUGUGCAGAAGGUUGUAGUUGUUAUGCUUCAUGACUCUAAUGUCUAAUUGGGAGCUUUAUGGUUUCUUUUAGAUUGCGGAUGUCUGCCAGGUACUCGCAGUUCGAGUUUUAACAUCAGAGAGAAGAGCUGAUCAACUUUCGCCUGGUAGGCAUCAUGUGCUUCCAAGUAACUCAUGUUUUCCCAUGUUUUGAUUAUUUUGAUAUCCAUUUUCUUUCAUAGUUUUUAAAGUGCUUCCCUUUUAGUACAGGCUUGCUAAGAAGCACAUAAAUGUUUUCUAGUCAUUAAAUGGUGGAUCCCCUUUUCUCUAAGCUCAGUUUAUAAAUUGUGACAUCUACUGAAUUUUGGUCCAUUUAUGCAGCUUUUUUAAGCUCAAUCAUGCUUUACAGUGCUGCAAUUUGUUUCAUGCAGUGCAAGUGUUAUCAUCUUUUUGCUAUAAAAUCUCGGCCGCAUGAUCCUCAUGUUUGGCUGAAGGAAUUGGUCUUUGCUUACUUGAAGAAUUAAAAAUAUUGAAAUUCAUCUCUUCUUGAUUGUGACAACCAUUUGGGUUCAUUGUGAAAUGGAACAGGAUGUUCUACACAAAGACCAAUUAUGUCUUUUUAUGUGGAUAAUGGAUUUGUCAACCCUCAUACAGAAUAAGGGUCAAGGCCUAGAGUUCUAGAACUGGUUGAAAGAGGGGGUUGCUCAUCUCCAUGAUUCACAUCUUUUAUUUGGGAACAUGAACAGGUCAAGUGGCUUGAUAAGAGAGUGGCGGUUAAGGUGGCACUAUGGAGUUGGGUCAUGGAUGUGGUUACUCUUCAAAAGACAAAGUUGGAAAAUCUUGAUAAGAUGGCUAUGGGAUAAUCCUUGUUAUUUAAUGGGCAACCAAGAGAUAUCUUGGUAGAAACUUAAAAGAAGCUGCAACUUAGUUAGAACAGCAACAAAAGACAGAGGUUCUAACUAACCUGUCCUUGAGAAACCACUGGAAAGAUAGGUUAUCUAUCUAUAAGCAAUCGUAGACUGGUCAAACUGCACUUUGAGGAAUUACUUCUCAAUUCCUCAUCCAAUUAGAAAACAUCUUUAAAAAUCCUUUAGUUGUUGUUGUUAUUUAUUUAUUUUGAUAGGCAGAAAUCCUUUAAUUAUGUUCAUCCCAAAUACACCAAAAAAAGAAAAAGCCAGACAACCUCCAUGCUUUUGAGUGCCUCAUCCUCAUAAAACUGCCAUGCCAACAAAAUAAGUUAUUCAGUUCUGGCAUCAUCCAGAAACACCCAUGACAACAGAUGCCACAAAAAUGAGGGUCUUCCCAUGUUGUCUUUUUCUUUUGUUUUUGUUCUACGAGAGAUUGACAUUUUUCUAAAAGAGAAGAGGCUUUAUGUGGUGAGGUUUCUAGAGGAGGAAAAGAUUGUUUCAGAAUCUCAUCAUCUAUAAUAGAUUGCUCUGAUUUCAUUAAAUGAAGCAAUCAUAUUUAUAUUUCUUUGCUGGAGGCAUUUGUUGGGCUUCCCUUCCUCCCCCAGUGUCUGUAUGGUUCUCUGAUUUCCGUGCUGGUUUUUUGUCUCCUCUACUUGUGAUUCCUUGCUUUUGUUUGGCUUGAAGGAUUGCUUAUCUUUCCUCAUGUUAUUUAUUUAUAAUUUAAAUUCAAAGUUUUGUUUUCUUGUCCAAGGAAAAGAGGGGGGAUGGGAGUGAUUUAUCCCCCACCGUGUUCUAGGUUGGAUGGAUUUCUCUUUUCAGCCAUUUGGGUGGGAGAUGUGGUUUUCUUAGUAAAUGCUUUUGUGAGGAGAAGAUAAAUUCUUAAUGGUUCUUCUUGCAAACAAGUAGGAAAACUGCACAGAUUAGCCAGGCUAGGAUGGGCUUCUCCUAGAAGUAUAAGCAAUAUAAUGUCCAUCUCCUUUAGAGGUUUGGGGACCAUUAUUAGAGGCAAAGUUUUAUGGAAAAAUUGCUUGUUUUAUCAUACUGAUUUGAUAGUGUAGUGGGAAAGAAACACAAUAUUUUUUUAGAACAAGUGAAGGGCAUUAGAGACGACAUGAGACCUAAUUUAUCUCUAUUCCUCUAUUUGGGCCUCUACAACCAAAGCUUUCAAAGGCAUUCUACUCAAUGUUAUUCAACUCAAUUGAGUAGUGAUGUGUAGACCAAAGGGUUAGUAUACCAAGGCUACAUUUGGUUGGCAAGAUAGGAUAUGAUAUGUAUAUCCUAGGACAUCAUAUCCUAUUGUAUAGGAAAUGUAUAUUUUAGGAUAUCAUUUCUAACGGGAUAUGAUAUCCUUAGAUAUUAUAUCCAAUGAACAUGAUAUUUUAAGGUAGUGUAUGCAAUAAGAUGUGUUAUGCUUUGCUUAUAUUUAGUUUGUAAAAUGAAUAAAAAAAUGAAAUGGAAUAUAUAUUAUUUUUCAAUGUUCUAUGUUUGUUUAAAACAAAAAUUAUAUUGCAUUCUAAUAUUUUGUAAUUAAAAAAAUAUAGUUCUCUUACGAUUAACAAUAUUCAUGAUGGAAAUAUUUGAAAAUUUAUAAAUAAAAAAAUGUUUAUAUAUAUGUUAUUCAAUAUAUAAAAAUGUUUUUAUAUUAAAUAAUACCUGUAUUGGUAUUGUUUUACAAUAUAUUUUAUAAAUAUAUUUUUAGUUCUUCUUUUUUAACCACAAAUUUAAUUCUUUAAUCAAAAUUUUUUAUUUUUUAAAAUAAUUAAUAUAAAAAAAUAAAAAAUUGAUAAAAAUUUUUUUGAUACGUGGGAUAUGUAUGUCCUAUGUAUUAACUUAGGAUUAACAUAUCCUAUAUAGAAGGAUAAAAAAAAAUGGUGAAUAAUAUAUCUCAUUACUUAUUCUAUCCCAUGUUUGGUUGAACAUAGGAUAUAAUAAGCAACGAGAUAACUUAUCCUAUCUCAUUACUUACCAGACAUGGGAUAAGAUAAAUUAUCCUCCCUUUUAUCCUAUCUUAUACUUUAUCUGGUGAACCAAACAUGGCUAAAAGGGAGGAUCAUUGUUUCAGGUCCAUUUUGGUAGGGUUCAGAUCAACUCCUAAGAGGCAAUUAAAUGAUGUAUUCUUCCUGUAUUUUAGAGAAGGUUUCUCUUCUUCUUUUGAUUUGGGAAGGAUUCCUCAUUCUUCAAUUGUACGUCUUAAUUCUUAUAAAUAAAUCUUUCUUUUUUAUUGCAAAAGAAAAAAAAAAGGUUGAAAAAACUGCAGGUUGUAUUUAAAUUAGACCUAAGAAGGCUAAUGAGUGUCAUUUGAGUUUUCCUUAAGUGGGACAGGGAUUGGGGAGAUGGAAGGUAAAGGGAUAGUGGUGUUAUCUUUUUAGUUAUCUUCUCCAUCAUUAUAAAUGGGCAUUCCCUUUUCCAUUUCUUUCAUAGCUUCCAAGGACGGAGGUGAGGGUAUGCGCUCUAACACCUUAUUUAUAUGUGUGUGUGUGUAUUAUAUUAUUUAUCAUAUGAUCUAUCUUGUGGGGCGAAGGUGGAUUAGUUUUGCUCUUUUAAAUGAAACUUUGUGUUUUUUGGGACUCUAAUUGAUGGGUAAAAGUAACGUGACAUUUGAUAUGUAUGAACAUUGAAUAGACUUGAAUUUAACUUAAAUCUGAAGAGUUGAAGGCAUGAGUUUGAAUGAUUUGUUUGUUUCGGUUGAUGCCUUGGUGUUAAGUGUGUUUUUUUAUUCUUAAAACAUCAGAAAAAUAGUAAUUAGAUGUUUUCCCUUACAAAAAAAUAAUUAUUGUGUUUGUUCUUAUUUUAUAUAAUUAAUGUAAAUUUAAAAUUUUGUUUUACUUAAAUUUUUAAAAUUUAUCAUGAUGCUUUGUGUGGUGGAGUUCCCAUGGGGGAGAAAUUUCCAAGUUAGUCAGCAUGGGAGAAUUAGUAAACUGCAAUGCAUUUUAUUUCAGAUAGAAUUUAUUAUUUUUAUUGAAACUAAAAUUUAAAAGCUAUGUGGUUCAUACCUUAGUUGGUUCAUUUGUGAGCGCUAUUACCUCAAACUAGUAGUACAUAGGCCAUAGGUAGUUCUCAAGCUCCAUGGCAUCGCUGCUACCACUGAAGACAGUUUGCCUUGGCACCUUCAAGCCAAGACUGUCCAGUCCAUGCUCCACACCUGGCUCCAGCAAGGUGAUCCACUUCUAUGUGUCAGUCACACUAAUGCCAAAACAAUCUCAAGUUUUGCAUUAACAUCAUGCAUUGUCUAUCUGUAUUGCCUUGUUGCAUGGUUCAACUGAUGAUAAUAAACUGUUAAUAGUUGCAUAUGAAUAUUAUCAUUGCCUUGUAAAAUUAUUUUCUGGAGUCAUUUCUUAUAUAUAUAUUCCAUGUGCUUACUGUAGAUGAAGUAAUUGCUGCAAUUGAUCCAAAAAAGGUUGAAAUUCUUCAGAGGUAUGCCCAUUUCUUAUUUCCAUAAAGCUUCACAAUAGUAUGAAUUAAUGCUUUUCAAAGGGGAAUGAAGUGAGUUGUGGGUGGAGGUCGUUAAGACAAGCAGGUGAAAACAAGAAAAAUGUUAAAAUGGUAAAGGCAACGCAUUCCUAUCAACUGUUACUACCCCCAAGUGCUAGGAUUGCAUCCAGCCUCCAUUUGAUAAGAGACAAAACAGAAUUGUUCCUUCAUAGUCCCCACAAAUUGGCAUUACCUUUUUUUUUUUUUACCCAGUUACACCUUUCAGUUUUCAACUUCAACCUACCCUGUGGGGGAAUCAACCCUCUCGUUUGCUAUAAGAUUCUUAACUAGGAUAAUCCACUUUCUUGUAACAUGCAUUGAAGUUCUUAGUGGAUUUCAUGUCAAGGCUCUCAUAUUUUCAAUGACUCAACCAAGAAAGGAGGUUUUAUCCUUGGAGAUUAUCUUUUAUCAUUUCUCUUUAAUGGCUCACGUAGUGGCAGUUCAAAUAGAUCUCCACAAGAUUUUGGAUUUGUACCUACGACAAUCAUGUCCAGCUACAAAGAAUGAGCUCCUCUCAUGCUCAUUCUGUUCUAUAAGUGACCCUUCUUCUAUACAAGCAAAAUCAGUAACAAAAGUUGUUCAACUUCAUAUGUGGAUAUGGAGUCCCCAGAAACUUUCCCCUGCUAUGAUUUCUCCAUAAGCAACCAGCAAAGCAAUGGAGAACUAUUCUCCACACCUUCCUCUUACUCCGUUUGAAUUUUCUACACUAACUAGACAAUAAUAUUAUAGCUCCCUCCCAUAGCCUCUGUUCCAUGUAAAAACUCCAAAAAAUCACCUUCAACUGCCCUCACUACUAGUCAGCUAAACACCUUCAUCACAUGAUUCGAGAGAAGUGGAGACCAUGCUUCCUCCUGUUAUUUACUCCUCAAGCUCUUGUAGAAACAUCCAACCCAUUAUCUCUUCCCAAAUGCCCUAGUCAACAUUUGCCAAAGAAAAUCUAAGGAAUAUUUUUGGAACAAAAACUGGAAUGGCAUACUAAGGAACUUUUAUGCUUUUUUGUAAUUUGCACAGUUUAGUUCUUUUGUAAAUCUGAAAUUACUUAAAAUUAAUCUUCGCUUGCUUACUCCAAUCUUAUGAAUAAAGCAGUUCAGGUUUCCAGUUCUUAAUGGCUGUGAUGUUGCUGACAAUGAUUAUCAGAGGAAGAGAAACCAAUAACACAUGAAAACCUCAAUAGAGGUGAAAUCAGGAGCCCCAGAUUAAGGCUAUAGAGCAAUCCAUGUUGAAAGAAAGAAUACAAGACUAGUCUUAGCAGACCAAGCUUUCCUGACCAGCUUCAAGUCAUACUUGGUUCUCCCUCCUUGAACCACUUCUCUUUCAACCUUAUCAUCCUAACAAGGUACCCAGCUCCUAAGUUCCUCAAUGAGAUUGGCUGGAACUUAUGGAUGCUACCUUGGAGUCAUACCAAGGCACUCAAUUGAGCUUUUCCUCAAACAGCAGCAAUUCUAUUUCUUCAAACUCAAUAUCAAUUAUCAAAUUGAGUAUCUGAUUCAAUUUAAUAUCAAAUUAGCCUUUUGAUCUUCAACUAAUCAGCUCUGGUUUUGAGAUAUCAGAAUCAAUCUUCUAAUUUCAUGAUGAAGAAUUGAAGAUGAACUUAAAUCUCAUGUGGUACUUUAUUGUUGUAUAGGUUCACUUAGUACUUUGGAGGCUUUUUAAGGAAUGUCGCACUCUUAGGGAAAUGGUUGUGGAGAUACCCUAGGGAGGGUUCAGCUCUACGACACGAGGUUAUUUCAAGCAUUUACGGAUCACACUCUAAUGGAUGGGAUGCCAACACAAUAGUAAGAUGGUCACAUCGUUGUCCUUGGAAGGCUAUUACACAAGUCUUUCAGGAAUUUUCCAAGUUUACUCGGUUUGCGGUAGGAAAUGGGGAUAGAAUUCGGUUCUGGGAAGACUUGUGGUGGGGGGAUCAAUCUUUGAGUUCCCAAUAUCCAAGACUAUUUAGAGUGUUCACGGAUAAAAAUAUUCUCAUUUCUUCAAUUCUCGGAUCUACUCGUCCCUUCUCUUGGAACUUUAACUUUCGUCGCAACCUAUUCGAUCCCGAGAUAGAAGAUUUAGAAGGUCUCAUGCGAUCACUUGAGCGUUUGCAAUUGACAUUUUCGGUUCCAGAUGUGAGAUCCUGGUCUCUUCUUCAGGGCUUUUUACAGUCAAGUCUUUCUUUCUUGCCUUAUCUUAUUGCCCUGAUUCUCUUUUUAAGUUUUCCCUACCAAGUUCGUUUGGAAUUCUCAGGUCCCUUUCAAGGUUAAGUCCUUUGUUUGGUUGGUGGCACACAAGAAGGUAAAUACUAAUGACUUGCUACAAUUGAGAAGACCUCACAAAGCCCUUAGUCUGGAUAUUUGUAAGUUGUGCAUGAGGCAUGGAGAAUCAGCAGAUCAUCUUUUCCUACAUUGUUCGUUGACAUUGGAGUUAUGACACAGAUUAUUUCAGUUAGCCAAGAUGGAUUGGGUUCCCUCGAGGAGCAUUUCCGACAUGCUAUCCAUCACUUUCAGUGACUUUGGUUUAUCGAGGAGAGAGAUAGUUUUAUGGCAAGUUGCGUGCAUAGCGUUAAUUUGGGUUGUGUGGCGGGAGAGAAAUGCUAGGAUUUUUUAGGAUAAAGCAAGGAAUCCAGAGAGUCUUUGGGAUUCUAUUUUUUUCCUUGCUUCUCUUUGGGCUUUUUGUUCCAAGGUUUUCAAGGGAAUCCCCCUUAUUGUGUUACAACUUGAUUGGUUAGCGGUGUGUAGUUCCGAUGGGUUGGUUUAGCCUAGAGUAGUUGUUCGUUAUUACAGUGUAAUUUCUGAUUUUUGGUUUCUUGUAGACUAGUUGUCUUUGGUGGGAGGAUUCCUCAUCCUUCUCUUGUACUUCGUUUUUCUAUUAAUAUAUUACUUUGUCGUUUCCUAUCAAAAAAGUACUUUGGAGGCUUUAACAUACUUUUUUAUCAGCUCAUUGUAUUAUGAGAGGAUUGCUUAUCCUUUUUUUGUAUUUCUUUACCUUUAAUUUAAUACAUUUGUUGUUUUUCUAAUAAAAAAAAGAAAAAGAAAAAAGAUUUACUUAAGGGUUCUGUUGGGUAAUUGUUGUCAAAAAUAGUAUGAAAAACAUUUUUUGAAAACUAUUAUCUAAUCUUUUGUAGAACAAAUGUCUAUUAGGGAAUAAAUGUUUUUAACCUAUUUUUUAUAGCCUUCCACAACCUUACGUUAUAACCCUCCCUCACCUCUAAAGAACACCAACCCCCUUCUUCUACCCUAUACCUACCAAUGAUUACUUUCUUCCACAAGGGCUCCUAUUCUGAUGUGAACCUCCAACUCCGCUUUCCUAAGAGAGCCUUGUUCAAUACAGAAACAUUGCAAAUGCCCAACCCUCAAUCAACCUUUGGCUUCCAAACUUUGAGCCCACUCACUAAGUGAGGCUUAUUUUCAAAAGACCCCCCUUCCCACAACAUCUCUUAUGUUGUGGGCAAUGGAAGAAGGAUAAGAUUUUGUAAGGGCUUUUGGUGUGGGUACACCCGUUUAUGGACCUCUUUCCCGUCUUAGUUCACUAUAGCCACCUCAAAGGAUGCUUGGGAGUAGGUUUAUAACAAGGUAGUGUGGCAAUUUUUCAGUUAAAUCUUUCUAUGAUGGGAUGGUUCAAAGGGGUUCAGAAUCUUUCCCAACAACACUUAUUUGUUUUUGGGCUCGAAUAAAAGUGAGUUUUUUCAUUUGGGAAGCAACAUGGAAAGGGAUUCUAACUAUGGACAUCUUGAAGAGGAGAAGGUGUACAUUGGUGAACAUGUGUUUUAUAUGCAAAGGCAAGGAGGAAUCUUGCAAUCACAUCCUUCUUCAUUGUUGUGUUUGUUACAACAGUUGGUCUUCUCCUUGUUUGGAGUGGUUUGGGUGUUGCAUACCUCAGUCCAAACAACACUUCUUAGUUGGCAUAGCCACCCUAUUGGAAAGAGGAGAACGAAGGCGUGGAAUGUUGCUCCUCUUUGCUUGUUUUGGACUAUUCAAAAAGAGAGGAAUAGAAGGGUUUUAAAAUUGUUGAGCUUUUAGAUCAAGAGUUAAAGUUCUCUUUUCUAAGUAACUUUUUAGAAUUAACCGAAGGAGGUCUAAGGCUAGAGUCUUUCUUUAUGAUUGAUUUUAUCGAUUGGUUAGAUUGCUAAUAAGGGGAGGGAUUUCUUGUUUUUUCUUUGGAGCGCUCAUGUAUACUUCUUGUGUACUUUUACUUCUUGUUUCUAUCAAUAGAUAUCUUUGUCGUUUCCUAUCAAAAAAAAAAAAAAACUUCUUGUGUACUUGGUCUAGCAUUUUUUGGCUCUUUAAUCUAUAUUGCCUUUUUUUUAUCUUUUUUUUUUUUUGUACUUAUCAAAAAAAAAAAAAAACAAGCCUCUGAAAACAACUGAAAAUAAUUAAAAGAUGCUCUCUAUAAACAUUAUGCUUUUUGUUUUCUAGUUGUUAAACUUGUUCUCUUGGUUUUUUUUUUUUUUUUUGGAGAACAGAAAACUAUUUUAAAAAAUAGUUACCAAACAAGACCUAAAUCUCUAUGUUUUUAGUUUUCCCUCCAAGAACUCACAAUAACAGAGAAAUCAAUUCAAUUCUUCCUUUCAAUUUCCGUCAUUUUCUAUUGGAGUUCACAUAGGCUGUAAUUGAUUUGCACGUGUUGGCAGGCAGCUCUGUUACUGAAAGAUCAUUUUCCAAACCUUCUAGAACCUCCUUCAGAACUCUCUCACUGAAUUGAGACUUCAAAACACUUUGAUCAAUUGAAAUGCAUGUGAAACAUGGUUUUUAGACAUGCUUCCAACCAAAGACCAUGAAUCCCAAUCUCAACUUGCACAAUUCAGUUGGAGCAUUUAAGGGUGCCCCAGAUGACUCUAAAUGCCUUCCACUUCAAUCAGGCUUGCAGUCAAUUCCUUUCCUGUGUGUUUAGACCCAAUAAGUGAGCGUUUAAACGCAUACACUAACCAUUUAAAGAUUAUGUUCAAAUGUCACUUGUGUUGCUAACUCUGUUUAAACAUCCUUCUGGUGCAUCUACCAAAUGAAACAUUUAUUGACACUUGGCAUUAACAAAUUUUUCUUUAGCUCCAUUUAAAACUGCUUCGGUUGUGUUUAAUCAAACUAUAUUUGUGUUUACUCACACCUAUUUCUGAUUGAUUGCACAUAUAUGAAUUUGUGAUGUUUCUUCAUUUUGGGCUUCCAAAAUGUGAUCCUACCUUUCCAAAACUUUUGACACUUGAGAAGACUUUAUAUUUAAUAAUAUGUUCCCUACAACAAUACAAGCUUACAAAUAAUUUUUUGACUUAAAAUAUAUCAACAAAAACUAAGUAUGCUUUACAAUCUGCACAAUUACAUGUUUUCCUUCCAGUCUGACCACCACUUAUGUGGGAUAUUAUGAACUUUUCUUUUGAAAGUUCCUGUUUACACUGGUUUUUCAUCAAGCUAUUUGGUGAUAUUUCAUGUUAUAUCAUAAUGUUUUCCUUCCCAUGCUUGUUGAUUUUCACUUUGGCUCUGAAAUUUCUUUCUUAUGUAUGUAACCUUUACAGCAAGAAUUUUGCUUGAUCUCCCAAAUCUGUGCAGGUAUCUCCAGUGGUUGAUUGAAGAUCAAGAUUCUAAUGACACACAGUUCCAUACGUUAUAUGCUCUCUCACUUGCCAAAUCAGCUAUUGAAGCUUUCGAAACAGAAAGCAGCUUUCAGAACCCUGAUGCUGGAAGAUUAGAGGAGACGUGUUCUGCUGGUUCUGAAAGGAAUUCAAUUUUUCAGAGUCCUGUCAGAGAAAGGUUGCAGAUCUUUUUACAGUCUUCAGACUUGUAUGAUCCUGAAGAGGUCCUUGACUUGAUUGAAGGAUCUGAGUUAUGGCUGGAAAAGGUAUGUUGAAACUCACUUAUCUUAUUUCAUUAUAAUUAGCAAAAGAUACUGAUCAAAUGGCCACUCUUGAGGCCUUAGAUGGAUUAAUUAUUUGUGCCUUUCCUUGCUUUCAGAUGCAAGGAUGGGACUAUGUUCUUCUUUUUCUUUCUCUUUCUUUUUUGUCAUUUUUUUAAAAGAAAAUUCCAAAUGGUAGGUGUCAUGUACAUAUUACUAAUGCAAUUUCUGGCUUUUCCUGACAGGCUAUUCUGUACAGGAAACUAGGGCAGGAAACAUUGGUGCUCCAAAUUUUGGCCUUGUAAGUUCCAAAAUGCUUACUGAUGAAAUCUUAAUAAUUAGUCAUCACUUUGUGUGAACUGUGUCUGAGGAAGCUUGACCCUUGUCAUAUAUGGGACACAGCUGUACAACCCUAUGUAAAUUCUAUUUCAUUGUACCAUGACAAGGGCUUUGUGGUAGUUGCUCUUCUCCUUGUUUGGUGUUUCUUGACUUACCUCAAUCAAAGCGAGCCUUUUAAGUUGACAUGACUCAUUUUGUGGGAAAAGGAUGAAAAAAAAGGUUUGGAGAGCUGCCCCGUUAUGCAUUUUUUGGACAGUUCUGAAAGAGAGGAAUUGUAGAUCUGUUGAAAACAAGGAACAAUCAGUCAAUGCUCUAAAAGGCUGGUUCGUUGGUAAUUUUUUGUUGUGGGUAAAGAUGUACAUUGAUGAGAGUCCUGUCUUUAAUAGAUUUUUUUCUAUUGGCUUGGUUCUUGCUAAGGGAGCGUGUUUUUGUUCAUCCUUUAGCACUCAUUGCACAAGUCCUAUGUACCUUGGUGUGAUGUUUUUUGCUGCUUGUUUAUAUAUAUAUUAUUAUUAUGUAAUAUUAUCAAUACCUAUAAAAAAAAAUGAUAACAUUUAAUGCUUUGUCAGGAAGCUGGAAGACAGUGAAGCUGCUGAACAAUAUUGUGCAGAGAUUGGUAGACCAGAUGCCUAUAUGCAGUUGGUUCUUUUUCUUUAUUUUCAUCAAUUUUUGUUCCUUUGUUUUUCCACCUGAAGAUAGAAGUUGUAUUCUUAAUUAUGUUCUUGCCUUUUGUUCUGUUUGUUCUAUGAUCAUCCCAGGUUGCUUGAUAUGUAUUUGGAUCCCCAAGAUGGUAAGGAGCCUAUGUUUAAGGCUGCAGUUCGCCUUCUCCACAAUCAUGGUGAAUCACUGGACCCCCUGCAGGUUUUAGAGGUAUCAGGCUCUGUCUCACAUGCACACUUAGAAGCACCUUUUUUUAUCCACCUUUUUUCCAUACCUUGCCUAAGUUUAAGAAUUUUAUUGUAUAAGACAUCUGAAUAUUUGAAAACUUGCAAUCUGGCAUUUUGUGUGUGGGUGGGGGAGGCUUGUGGUAUGGGAAAGAGAGAGAGGGAAGGAAGGCUUAUAAAGGGUCUAUUUUGGAACUGUUUUCCAGUCUUGAAAACAUGUUUGACAAUUUGUUGACAGAAAACAGUUCUUUUGAAAAUUUGUUCUAAAAAUAGGGUGUUUUCUAAAAACAUAUUUUAAUUGUUUUUGCUUGUUUUCUACAGGCUAUUCUUAAAAAAUAAUUAUACAAAUAUAGAGAAUGAUUGAAAAUAAAACAUUUUAGAUAAAAUUUCCUUUACAAUGAACUUUUCCCUUUCCUACUUAUUUUUUCAAUAAUCAAUAAGCAAUUGAAAAUAUUUAAUUACCUUGUUGGGUUCAUACUUGAUCUUUGCUAUAUAGAAAACACAUUUGGCAAUUUGUUGAUAGAAAACAGUUUUUUUUUAAAACUUGUUCUGAAAACCGGGUGUUUUAUGAAAACAUAUUUUAAUUAUUUUCACUUGUUUUCUGCAGGCUAUAUUUAAAAAAUAGUUAUACAAACAUAGAGAAUGAUUGGAAAAAAACAUUACGGAUAAAACUUAUUUUUAAGAAAUAUUUGGCAAUACAUAAAACACGUUGAGAACAUUACAAGCUACCCAACAAACUUUUGUUUCAAAAAACAUCAAAGACGUGUUUUAAAGAAUUAUUCUCAAAAAUUGUUUUUUGAGAACUAUCUUAAAAAACAUUCCCAAACAGGCUGAAAAUUUCCUUUACAAGGAAUAUUUCUCUUUCCUUCUUUAUUUUUUCAAUAAUCAAUAAUCAGUAAACAAUUGAAAAUAUUUAAUUAACUUGCUGGGUUCAUACUUGAUCUUGCUAUAAUUAGAUAGAAACUCCAUCCCAUCAUGUGGCAAGGCAAGCUCACCUUAUUAUGCUGGAAUAGUGAAGUUGAUUGUUCCUUUAUUAUAUUGAUUUUGUUUUCUGUUCCAGACAUUAUCUCCAGAUAUGCCUCUCCAACUUGCUUCAGAUACUAUAUUAAGAAUGUUGAGAGCUCGGCUCCAUCAUCAUCGUCAAGGACAGGUAUGUUUACUGUUGAACCUUGUUUGGUUGUCAUUAUUUUGAUUCUAAGGAAGCCUAUAAAAUAAAAUAAAAUAAAAAAUUAAUAGAUAAGUCAUUUGGAUUUAAGUAUUUCCAUAAAUAUCUGUGUCCUAUGUAAUUCUUUAAGUUUUGUGCCCACAUUCCUCCAAAUUAUAAUUGCAGUAGUCGCUAAGUCAGUCUUGAAGCUCUUACAUGAUUUUAAUCAAACCUAACGACGACUCUACUAGCAUGUGAAGUUAAUGAUAUAGAUCCUGUUAUGUGUUAUUGCAUCCUGUAAGGCAAUUAUUGUUUAUUUUCAUGUCAUUUCCAGUUUUCUUCCCCUUCCUUAGAACAUUUAACUCUUAUUGAGGCACAUCUUCCCCAGGGUGAUGGAAGCUGGGUUCAUUGUUUUCCCCCUUUAUUUUAUCAGCUUCGUGCCAUCGUUUCUGGUAUUUUUGUGAAUAUAAUGAUUUCUAAUUCUUUUUCUCCUUUUUUUAAGCCAUUAGUUCAUUCAUUUCUGCAUCCUCAUCUAUUCUAUGAUGGAAAAGGGGGACAAAAAUUACACUGGGAACGUCCCAGAUAUUUCUUCAGUUUUAACAGUCAUUCUGUAGUUAUCUUCAUAAUUUACAUUGUUUUUUACUUGUUUUUAGAACCAAAGAAUUCCAAUCCGCCUGGAAACAACCCAGUUCCUGCUCUCUAAUCUCACUUUUUAAUAGGCAUAUCAAUGACACAAUUAACACUAUCUAGCUCUUUGUUUCAUGGCAGAACAAUUGACCAGAGGUGUAUGUCCUGUUAUGAUUCUUAUAUUGAUUUUGAAGAGAAGUUGAUGGAUACUGCUGGGAUGGACUUGUCCAUCGAUAUGUUGAUGGAGGGGAAUUAGCUAGAUUGUGGACACUCUCCUUCCUUACUCUAUAUAAAAAGUGAUUGUGUUCACUAAUUGCAAGUUUGACACUCUUACCCACCCUAUCCCUUCCUACAUGAAAUUAAUCCUAAUCCCUACAGAUCAUUCUGCGUAGGAUAUCAGUCACUAUAAUGAAAAAAAGGAGCAAGAGAGGGUCAUCAUGUUGUUGGAUGCAUCUAGAAGCCUUAAUCAUUCGCUAUUCCUUUUAAUGAGCAUGUGAGGUGCUCACCAAUGCUACAUUUGCCUAAAUCCAUCUCUACAUAAACCAAACCCUUUCUAUGGAGAGCAUGAUCCAAAAAAUCUCAAGUCACGCGAUCAUAAGCCUCUCCUUCUGUUAGAUCUCCAUUUAUCAUCCUUGUUUCUGUUUUCCAUGAAUGAUCAAGAAUUUUGCUUCCCUCGAUAAAGUUUUUCUGAGAAUGGGAUAGUCUCAUGGGCACUUGAUGAAGAAGCUUUAACAUAGACUUUGCUAGGAAUCUUAUAGAGGCUAGCAACUCAACUACCAUGCCUAAACUCCUUGAACCCUAUGGAUCAAUCUUAGGGGACAUGGGUGAUAAAAGUCACACUGUAACUCCGAUUUAUGAUAAUACUAAGAGGAGAAUUCCUCAAGUACACAGCAAAACACCCUCUUUCAACAACAAUUAUGAUAGAAUGCUAUAGUGAAACCCAAACAUUACCUUUAGAAUGCUUAUGAUAUUUGAAAUGUGACAUAAUAAUAUUCAGUUAUUUUUAGGUCUCGAUAAAAGCACAAAUGGAAUUAAAUAUGAUAUCAGAUUAUUGAUUUCCAUUUCAACACCCAACAUGUUCUAGCUAUUUGGGUUCGCCUUCAAGAAUUCCAAUUUUUACCAUGCCACUCUUUGGAUCUACCAUUAAAUCAUUGUUGCAGCAUUGAACCACUUUUGUUGGCUUAGCACCUUUUAUGUUGAAUCAUCUCUAUUUCCUUUUCAGAUUGUGCAUAACCUAUCCCGUGCUGUAGACGUUGAUGCAAGAUUAGCAAGAUUGGAAGAAAGAACAAGGCAUGUGCAGAUCAAUGAUGAGAGCUUAUGUGAUUCUUGUCAUGCUCGCCUUGGAACAAAGCUAUUUGCAAUGUAUCCAGACGAUAGUAUUGUCUGUUACAAGGUGGAUAAAUUAUCUUUUUGUCUGUUCCAAGCUAUUCAUGAUUUAUCCAGAUGAGUUGUGAAGGUUGGUGAUGUUGGUCCCUCCUUUUGUCUGUAGAGACCAAGGAAUUCUCUAAAUCUUUAAGAGCACCACCUCCACACCUCAUCCUCUAAAAAGUUUCUUUUCAAAUUUUAAGGUCAGCAGAAACAGGGUUUCCACUUUAACUUCACCAUUGAGCAGCUGAUACCAGAAAAAGGAAUUUUUAUUUUUUUUUAUAAAAAAAAAAAAAAUGAAGUGGCAGGCAUCCACAAGUAGGGAGGAUACAUCUUAAUUGAUCAUGGUUAAGAUCGAAUUGUCUAAAACCUAGUUUCUUCCUUCUGCAGUGUUUCCGUCGUCAAGGUGAAUCCACUUCUGUCACAGGUGUUGACUUCAAACGAGAUAUCUUAUUUAAACCAGGUUGGCUUGUGACCCGAUAACUAUGGAGGAAGAAGAACCAUUUUGGAAGUUAAGACCAAGCUACCAUGUGUUUGCUCUUUACAGCUCUACCUUCCUGCUCUGGAUCGGGUACCAUUUCAUCUUCAUCUUGACAAAGAAUUGCUCACAGUGACUUAACUUAUUUUUAAAGAGAGAUGUCAAACCAGGAAAUUUGAUUUUCAACAAGGUUCUACUGUGCUCCUAUCGUCAGGUACAAGCUUGGUUGAGUAUUUAACAAAAGAAUCCAUGUAUAGAGCAUGCCAUCUUGAUGGUCCCACUAUUAUUUCUUUUCAGUUAUGAAUUUGUAAAGGAUCCAAUUGUUUUGCUGACACAUGCUUGAUUGAAACAGCCGGUUUGUUGUAUAAACAUCUAUAGGUAACUAACUAUCUGGCCACAAUGGGCCUCUUUUGUUCAAGUUUAUUAUGUUUUGAAAAAAGGAGGGGAAAAAAUGGAGUUUAAGGUUCCUACUGAGUAUAUGCUGAGGUGAGGAGCUUGAUGUAUGCUUGGUUUUACAUGUAAAACAUAAGAUGGGUACCUAAGGAGAUAGAAAUCAACCCCUUCCCUUAUCAUACAGGUAGUGAGGAUGAUGAUUCAUGGAGGAUGGCAGAUUUUGUGGAAUGGGCUUCAAACUUAAACAUUCCUGAGUAGGAGUUUUGAGGGGAGUGAAAUGGGCUUUAAAUUGAAUUAAAAUUAGUUAGAAAUUUAUGAAUUUUAAAAUUAUUUAAAUUUUAUAUGGAAUAGAAAAAUAGGUUAAAUGAGCUUAGAAAAACACAAAUAAUUUAUUAAUUUUCAGUGAAUUUUUUUUGUUAACCUUUUUUUUUUUUUUUUGGGUUCCCUUCUUUAUUAUCUUUUCUUUCCAUUUUCCUUAAAGCCAAACAAAGGUGGUGUCUAUGAAAGUCCUCUGUGAGGCCUUUCCUUUCUCCGAAGUGUUUUCCCUGAGCUCUCAGCAAGUUUCUUUGCCAAUUGAUGGAGAUUAUAUUGGUACACUUUAACUUCAUUCCUUUUUAAUGCGAUUGUAUGAUAUUAAAUUUUGAUGAUGCAAAAAGAAACUUUGAGAUGUUAGAAAGAAGGAAGAGUGGUACCUUAGAGAGCAAAAAUUUUGAGAAAUUUGGGUAUUGUACAUAUAAUAGAGGAACGAAGUAGAAUGUCUUCAGCAUUGCCUAAAAAUAAAUAAGGCAUCAUUUAUGAACUGAAAUCAUUUUUUUUUUUUUUUGGGUGGAGAUUUUAGACUUUUUUCAAGUGUUCAAAAUUUUUACUCAUGCCUUUUUGUUUUCAAUAAUGUUUUGUAAAUAUAAAAAGUGAUUUUUGUUGUAAAAGUAAAGAACAUUGGGAUACAAUUUGAGAUAAUAAAUUUUAAAAAAGUGAAUUUUGAAGCUAUCUAUUUUUCAUAACUUUAAUCCCUAUGGUUACAAUCAUAAUGAUUACAAUAAAUACUUUUACAAUAAAUGUGCAAGUUAUAGAGAUACUUGAAAGAUUAUGUCUGAAAUUUCUUGAAUCCUUGCAUGCCAAUAUUAUGUAUGAGCUUCUUGAAUGUUAUAUUAUACAAAGCUUGUUGUGAUGAAAUGUGUUUGAUUUGAUUAUCCUUAAUCUAUUCUUCUUUGAUUUGAACAAUACAUGUAACAAUAUCAUCAUGCAAUAUUAUUUAUUUGUCUUUGAUAGAAGAUAAGUCAUGGACUCUUGAAUAUGUUGGAUCAUAAAUCAGUUAUAUACAUUUACGACCUGCUUCAUAAAUUGCGAGUAAUUCUAAUUUGAGGAGGUGAAUACUAUUAUUUGCUUAAUCAAAUUUUCAUGAUAUAUAGAAUAUGUUUGAUCAUUUUCCAAUGUUUUCAAAUUGGGGCAAAACCAUAUCUUACUAGCAAAUUGAGAAAGAAUGUUAUGUCUAAUCAUGUACAAUUUGCAAGAUAAAUUAAUGUGACAAUUACAUUAAGUUCUUGUACUUUUGGACCACACAGUUCUUUAUUUUCUUUCUUGAAAUGAAAUAUAUCGCCAUUCACUUCAAGUGAACAAACAACCAUAGGGAAGCUAAGUAGGUGUGAUUUGUGGAUAUGCAAGUGUUUCAAGACUUUUUCUAGGUAUAUCAUCUAAUAGACUAACACCUCACUUGGAAAAAUACUUGAUCUACAAGAUGAGCCAAAAUUUUAUUUUCCAUGAUCUUCCUUUCACAUCAUUUCUUGAGAUAAUUAACUAGUCUUAUGAGCUAUUCAAGAGUUCCAAAAAGAUUACAACAAUUACAAACCCCACUUUAAUCCAUAGAAAGAUAUAAUUUGAUUAAGUAUAUUAUCAUUAUUGCUUAAUCUAAAAUAUGAAAUGAGAUUUUCAAUCAUUGAUAUGCAUUUUUAAUUCUUCAAAGAUUUUAACAUACCUAUGGAUCCACAUAAAGAUUUGUAGCUAACAUAUAAACCAAGUCCUUUAGAAACUGUUGAUUGUAUAAUUAAAUCAUUACAAGAGUUGAUAUAAAUCAAGUCAUUCAAAGACUGUUGAUUGUAUAAUUAAAUCAUUAUAAGAGUUAAUACAACAUCUCAAUAGGAAAUCUUAUGAUAUAAUUUUUUAUUAUCUAAAAUUAUACUUUUUAUAUAAUAACUCAUUAAUAUCCAACAAUCUGUAUGUCUUAAUAACCCAUUAAUAUCCAACAACUUUUAUGUCUUCAAGUGUUAAGACUCUAAGUCCAUUUAUAAUAAGCUUUACAUUUUUAAGCAUUUGAACUACAAGUCCAAAUAUUUCUCAUUGUAACGAGCUUUAGAUAUACUUGUUUUAUUUCUUUCUAUUUUUGUCAAUCAUUUCUAUGUAAAUAUUCUUCUACAUUUUGUAGUUCAAAUUUUCAUCAUUUUGUAUGAUAUCAAUAUUGGAAUAUCUGGAUUACUCUCUAGAUUAUUGGGGUGCAUGCAAAACUAUCCUAGGGAUUUCUAAAUCUACACAAUGGAAGCUAUAACAAAUAAAUCUAGGUGUAUAAAAAACCCACAUGUUCUUGAGUCACUUAAUUUAACCUAAAUUGAGUCCUAAUUGAUUAAUUAACUCAACAAGGCUAUUAAUUAAUCAAUUAGCCCAAUUCAAAGACCUUGUUCACUUACCCUUGUGCAACCUUGCAUAAUCACCAAAGACCCUUAUGUAAAAAAGUGAACCUAGGGUCAAUCUGACCUCCCUCAUAACUCAUGCCAAUAAGGUAUAUGAGCUCAAAGCGGGGACCACUAUGACCCAUAGAAGUACUAUCUCCCUCAAAAUCUAAUUCUGAAGUUGAUUCAACAUCCCACUCAAAGAAUCAACUAAACUCUAUUAUCUUAUGUAAAUAAUAAUGAGACACUAUGUGUUCGAGUCCAUGACUUGCUUUCCAUUGUACUUAAUUUCCCCAUGAAUUGGUAUUUGUAGUCUAAUAAGGUGAAAGUUAUCAACUUUUCAAAACUACCUCUACUAUCAUUGAGCACAAAUCUUCAUAUUGUGUGUUCAAUUGACAUGUCUUAGCUCUCAAAGAGCCUACGUUAAGUUUCAUUUAAGGAACUAUUAUGAUCAUAAUUUCCAUAAACACGCCUCCUUAGGAUCACCCAACGGGACGCUCUGUCUUAAUCUCAUGAGAUAUCAGGCUGUCUCUAUUCAGAAUACCUAUUGCUACUGACUUCCAUCAACAGUGACUUAAUUUAUAAGGAAUAUAUAAUUAGCUUUCAAUCUCACUUGUAGGUCAAAGACACUAGUAACUUUAGCACAACCUUAGUAUUCUCUUAAAGUUGAGAGACAACAUAAUGAAGCAGUUUGGUGAGGUCAUGACUACUUGAUAGCCUUAAGUCAUGACUCACUAUAGGUCUUGUCCAAUGUGUAACCAUACACAUUAGUGCACUCAUCAUGAGAAACUCAUCUCGAAAGCCAAGACCAGUCAUCCCUCCAAUUAGGAGGUGGUGCAUCACAACUUCUAAUGAGUUGCUUAAACCCAUGAACCGACUGUGAACAAGUCAUCUAUUUGCAAUGAACCCAUGAUUUGGAUCUUUCAUGCAACUCCUAAUACACCUAAGUCACAUAUAAUGCAAAAGAUGCAGGCAAAAAUGCUCAUAAAGUGUAAUACAUUUAAUAUGGAUAGUUAAAAGUGAAAUUGGAAUAUGAUUAAAUAAUGAAUUCCAAAUUUUGUUCAUUAUGUCAUGCUUUUAAGGGCUCUAUCUUAAUAUCAACCUCUUAAGAUUAUUUCUAUAAUCCUUGAGUUUUAGAUUCUCUUAUUAUGUGAUCAAUUGACAUACUCUAAUUCUCAAUGAGCAUAUGCCAAUUUCUGUAAAAGGAAUUAUUAUUGCCACAAAUGUUAUUAUCACAUGUGCUAGGAUAGAACCCUUAAAAGUAUGACAUGAUAUAAUAAACUUUUGAAUUUUAUUAUUUAUUAAUAAAUUUUCAAUUUGCUUUUAUCUAUCCUAAUUCCAUGCAUUAUACUUUGCAAGCAUUCUAAGUUGCAUCUUUUGAAUUGUAUGUGACUUAGGUGUGUUAGGAGUUAUAUGAAAGAUCUAAGUCACGAGUUUUUUGUAAGUAGAUGAAUUGUUCACAACCGGUUCAUGGGCUAUUAGAGGCUAUAGGGAUGAUUGGUCUUGGUCAUCAAGAUAGGUUUCCAUGGUGAGUGCACUAGUGUGUAUGGUUACACAUUUGAUAAGACCUAUGGUGAGUCAUGACAUAAGACUAUCAAGUAAUCAUAACUUUACCCAACUAUUUCAUUGUGUUAUCUCUCAACAUUGAAACAAUAUUGAUCUUAUGUUAAUGUUAGAAAUGACUUUGACAUGCAUGUGAGAUUGUAAGAUGAUCAUAUAUUCCCUUUGGAUUGGGUCAUUAUUGAUGGAAGUCGAUAGCAAUAAAUAUUCUCAAUAGAGGCACCAUAAUAUCUCAUGGGAUUGAUAUAGAGUGUCCUAAUAGGUGAUCUUAAGAAGGUGUAUUCAUAUAAACUAUAGUCAUAGUAGUUCCUUAAAUGGAACUUGACAUAUAAUCUUAGAGAGCUAAGAUAUAUUAUUUGAACACACAAUAGGAGAAUUUGUAACUCAAGGAUAAUAGAGGUAAUCUUGAAAGACUAAUAACUUUCACCUUAGUAAGUUAUGAACACUAGUUCAUGGGGAGACUGAAUACAAUGGAUAAUAGAUCAUAUACCCAAGCACUUAGUGUCUCAUUGUUAUUUACAUAAGGUUUGGAGUGUGGUUGAUUAUCUAUAGUAAGAUAUUGAAUCCACUUUAAAAUUGGAUUAUAAGGGAACGAAUACUAUUUUACAGGUCCCAAUGGCCUUUGCUCAAGUUCAUAUACCUUGUUGGCACGGUUUCUAAGAGUUGAAUUGGCUCUAAGUUCAUUUUUUUUUUGUAUAAAUGUGUUUUGGUAAUUACAGAAGAUUGCACAGGGGUUAGUAAAUAAAGUCUUUAGAUUGAGUUAAUUGAUUAAUUAAAUAGUUUUUUGAGGUUAAUUAAUCAAUUAGGAUUCAUUUUAAGCUACAUUAAGUGACUCCAACUUUUAAUGGGCUCAAGUCACUUAAGCCUAGUUAGAGAUAUAAAUAUUUUUUUUAUUGAAAUUAUAGGGUUCUUAGGAGUUUGAAUUUAAAAUAAAACCAAAAGACAAUGCUUAAUUAAGUCCUAUUAUGUUGGGUUGUUUAGUUUGGAUAAGUCUUAGAUUUAUAAGAGUUUGAAUUUAAAAUAAAACUAGAAGAUAAGGCUUGACUGAAUCCUAUUAUUCUGGGUUGUUUAGUUUAGAUAAGUCAUAAUGUGUUUAAAUUUGGUUUUAUCUCUGGUUUGAAUUAGAGAGAAUAUCGAAUAAUUUUUUGUAGGUUGGUUAGUUGCUAAAUUCAGGGAUUGCUUCGUUUAUUUAAGUUUUGGAUGUAAACCAUUUUUUUUUUAAUAAAGUAUUAUUUAGUUUCUCUUCCAAAUUGAAUAUGGUAUCAAAGCCCACGAUCUAAACUUAAACAUGGUAAAACCUACAAUGACUGGCGAACGUUUAGCAAGCUCUUUGGAUGUGAUCUCCGAUUCUUCUCUUGUCAAUUCUAGUGGUAAUGGUGGUUCUAAAAUUUUCAUUCACCACAUUACUGUCCACAAAUUAAACGACAAGAAUUAUCUCCAAGGGUUUUGAUAAGUAAUGAUGUACAUAUGUAGGUGUGAAGACAACCCUGACGAAAAACAAUGCAUUUUACAAAGCCUGGUCUUUUGAGAACAAUACGAUUAUGUCUUGGCUUACUAAUUCCAUGGAUAUGGAUGUAGGAUAGAAGUUCCUAUUCUACAAGACAAAAAAAAAUAUCGGGGACAUAGCUAAGGAGAUUUUUUUAGAUAGUGAAAAUACAACAGAGGUGUUUGAACUCAAAAUCCAACUUCUAGAAUUAUGAUAAGGGGACCUCAGCGUGACCCAAUACUUUAGCGUUCUCUCCCGAUAUUGGUAAAAAACUAGACAUGUUAGAAGAAUUGGAAUGGGAUUGCGCUAAUGACAACAUCAAAUAUCAUAAAAUUAUGGGGAAAAAAAAUCUUCACAUUCUUGGCAGGAUGAAGUUUGAGCAAGGAUUCUUAGCACCAAGCCACUCCCAUUACUCCGAAAUGCGUGUUUUGAAGUAUGGUGAGAAGAGAUUCGAAACAAGGUCAUGAUGAAGGAUCACACCUCAUCACAUUUAUUUUCGUGUAACAACGAAUCAGCCUUGGCUACCAAAGGACCGAAUUCUCAACACUUUGAUUCACAAGGAUAUCCAACAGGUCGUGGUGUGAUCACUAUAAUCGAGUUGAUCACACUCAAGAAACCUAUUGGAAAAUUCAUGGGAAACUACCCAAUUGGAAAAGUAACAUAACAUAGGUAAAUGAACCUUAAGGUUAUCGUGCCACCAAUGAUGAACCACCACAGUCCAAUAACUCAUCCAACAAAACACCUUUCAACAGAGAAUAGAUGAAGCUAUUUCAGAAACUCCUCACACAUGAUCCUUUGAGUACCUCCACUAUAGGAUCAAGUUCCAUUGCCCAGAAAAGUAUAUGUUCCAGAGCCUUGAAUGUUUUUUCAAAGUCAAACCCAUGGAUUAUUGACUUUGGCGCAUCCGAUCACAUGAUCAAUGAUAUAACUCUCUUUCACUCUUAUCAACCAUGUUCUGAGAGUUAUAAAAUUAAAAUAGUCGAUGGCUCUUUCUCAGUGGUGGCCGAUCAAGGGAGUGUCAUUCUUCCGAAUAGCUUUAGAUUGCUCUUUAUUCUUCAUGUUCCCAAGCUUAUGUGUAAACUUACUCUCUACAAGAAAAGUCACUAAAGAUCUUAAUUGUGUUACUAAAUUCUUUCCUAAUCAUUAUGAAUUUCAAGAAAUUGAGACAAGGAAGAUAAUUGGUUGUGCCUAGAACAUGAGAGUUUAUAUAUCUUUGGCAAUAACGUUUCAAAAGGACACACUCAAAAAGCAAGUUGCAAUGUUCUUUCAUCUCUUGCAAAUUCCAUUGAUCAUGAAAUAAUGGUUUGACACUUUAGGCUAGGCCACCCAAGCUUUCCAUAUUUGAAAAAGUUGCUUCCACCGUUAUUCAGAAAUAAAAACUUAAGAGUCAUUUCAUCGUGAGUUUUUUCAAGUGUCUAAACAUUGUUGAAAUUCUUAUGUUUCACAACCUUAUAAAAAAUCUCAUCAUUUUUGCUCAUAAAUAGUGAUUUAUGGGGACCAUCCAAUAUUAGCAACGUAACAAACUCUAAGUGGUCCAUUUCAUUUAUUGACAAUCAUACACGAAUAUGUUGGGUGUAUUUGUUGAAAGAAAAAUCUGAAGCAAAAAAUAUUUUAAAAAAUUUAAUGUCAUAAUUAACACUCAAUUUCAAACCAAAAUCCAAAAUUUUUGCGUUAACAAUGGUACUGAAUACUUUAAUUCAAUCCCUAGACCCUAUCUUCGUGAACAUGACAUCAUUCAUCAAAGCUCAUGCAUUGCUACACUACAACAAAAUGGAAUUUUUGAAAGAAAAAAUUGUCAUUUGGUAGAAAUUGUUUGAUUCCUUAUGUUCACGACAAAUGUUCUUAAAUAUUUUUUAGGGGAAGUCAUUCUCAUUGCAUCAUACUUGAUAAACCGAAUGCCCACUGGAGUAUUAUAGUACCAAACUCCCAUUGAAGUUCUAAAAAAUUGUUACCUUAACAUUCGACUAGUGUCAUCAUUUCCACCAAAAAAAAAAAAUUGUUGUAGCGUUUUUGUCAACACUCAUGAUCAAAGCAGAACGAAACUAGAUCCAAGAGCCCUCAAAUGUCUUUUCUUGGGAUAUUCUUUAACCUAAAAAGCUUAUAAAUUUUACUCACCAAUCAUAAAAAAAGUUUUAUGUUUACAUGGAUGUAACAUUCCUUGAGCAUCAAGCCCAUUUUCCUAAAACUCAACUAUAGAGGAAGAUUUCAAGGAAUUCCAACUCAAAUCAAUUUUGGGAUAUUACUCUUCUAGCUAAUAUUGAUAUUGUUCUCCCAACCCUAGUUUUCAAAUCUGUCAUCUCAAUAGUCCCUACAACAACAUGUAAUUCUAGCCCUAAAACCAUUGUUGUUCCCUUCAAACUAGAUUCUACACCCAAUAUUCCAACAUAUUCAAUCCCAAAACUAGAUUCUUCACCCAAUUUUCCAAUAGAUUCGACCCUAAAAUCGUAUUCUACAUGCAAUCUUCAAGCAAAUUUGACCUUAAAGCUUCAGGUUUAUUCCAGAAGAAAAGUUGUCAGGGAUAUACAAAUUCUCAUGCCCUCGGCUCAUGACUAGAUAACUGAACCUAAUCCAAAUACUCAUGACCAAAAUUCUGGUAACACGGUAACUGAUACUAAUUUGACUGUAUUAAAUGAUUUGGAUGUUCCUAUCGCAUUUCGAAAAGGGGUUAGAUCAUGUAUUACACAUCUCAUUGUUGAUUUUGCUUCAUACUAAAGAUUAUCUCCAUGGUUUUGAGCAUUUAUUGCUAAUAUUUAUAAAGUUGAUAUACCUAGGGACAUUCAUGAGCCAUUACAACAUCCAAAUUGGAAGGAAAUUGUGCAUGAGAAGAUUAAAGCUCUUGAAACAAAUGGAACUUGGGAAUUAAUCGAAUUGCCUUUAGGAAAAUCUACUAUCAGAUGCAAAUGGAUUUUCAAUGUGAAGUAUAAAGUUGAUGGGAACAUUGACAGAUAUAAGGCAAGAUUGGUGGCUAAGGGAUUUAUGCAAACAUAUGGAGUAGAUUAUCAGGGAAAAUUUGCUCAAUUGCGAAAUUCAACACUAUUCGAGUUCUACUCUCAAUUGCAAUCAACAAUGAUUAGCCUUUUCAUAAGGUAGACAUAAAAAAUGCAUUCCUAAAUGGUGAUCUCAUUGAAGAAGUCUUCAUGGAUAUUCCAUAAGAAUUCAAAGAUGUUGAAAAAAAAAAAAAACCAAGUGUGUAGGUUACAUAAAUCUUUGUAUGACCUAAAGCAAUCACUUAGGGCCUAGUUUGACCAUUUUACUUCAAUUAUUAAGAAAGUUGGGAACAAUCAAGGAUAAUCGAAUCAUACGAUGUUUUUCAAACAUUCAUUAUAUGAGAAGAUAAAUAUUCUUAUCAUUUAUGUGGAUGACAUAAUUCUGAUGAUGAAAUGGAAAUGAUAAAUCUAAAAAACACUCUAUCUCGGGAAUUCAAAAUCAAGGACUUGGAAGAGAGCUCUUAGGUAUUUCCUUGGCAUGGAGGUGGCUCAAACAUCAAGUGGAAUAUUAGUUUCUCAAUGGAAAUAUGUCCUCGAUCUUCUGGAGAAAACUAGUAUGCCCGAAUGUAGACCAACAGACACACUUAUGGAGUAGAAUGGAAAGCUUAGCAACAAAGAAGAAAACCCUUCGGUUAACAAAGGUCAAUACCAAAUACUUGUUGAGAAGCUGAUCCAUUUAUCCCAUAGUAGGCCAGAUGUGGUCUUUCCUAUUAGUGUGGUUAGUUAGUUCAUGCACGCUCCCACUGAAAAAAUCUUAGUGUAGUUCACAAAAUUCUCUUAUACUUGAAAAUGACACCGAGAAAGGGUUUUUUUUUUUUUUUUUUGCAAAAAUAUCAGAUGAGGAAUUAAAGUAUAUUUUGAUGCAAAUUGGCUAGGUUUCAUGAAUGAUACAAGAUCCACCUAGGCUAUUAUACCUACAUAUGGGGUAAUUUGGUUACUUGGAGAAGUAAGAAGCAGUCCAUAGUGGCUUGAAGUAGUGCGGAAGCUAUGUUCCAGGCUAUUGCACUUGGUGUAUGUGAAGGACCAUGGCUAAAACGUGUGAUGGAGGAGUUGAAGAUUUCAACCGAGCUUUUGAUGAAAAUUAUUUGUGAUAAUCAAGUAGCCAUCAACAUCUCCUAUAAUUUGGUUCAUCAUUAUGGAACCAAGAAUGUGGAAAUAGAUCGACAUUUCAUUAAGGAGAAAGUUGAGAAUUGGGAGUUUUUACUGUAGUACAUGCCUACCAAGCUUCAAACUAUAAACAUUCUUACAAAAGCUUUACCAAAACAACAUUUCGAUCUUUUAUAAACAAAUUGGGAAUGAUCAAUUGUUAGGAUAGAGCCUUUAAAAGCAUAACAUGAUGUAAUAAAUUUGGAAUUCGUUAUUUAUUUAAUGAUGUUCCAAUUUCAUUUUUAUCCAUCCUUAUUCCAUGUAUUAUACUUUAUAAACAUUUUUGUCUACAUCUUUUGCAUUGUACGUGACUUAGGUGCAUUAGGAGUUGCAUAGAAGAUCUAAGUCAGGGGUUUCUUGCAAAUAGAUGACUUGUUCACAACCAAUUCAUGGGUUUAGGCAACCCAUUAGAGGUUGUAGUGUACUAUCUCCUAAUUGGAGGGAUGAUUGGUCUUGGCUAUCGGGAUAUGUUUCUCAUGGUGAGUGCACUAGUGUGUAUGGUUACACAUUGGACAGAACCUAUGGUGAGUCAUGACUUAAGGUUGUCAAGUAGUCAUGACCUCACCAAGCUGCUUUAUUGUGUUGUCUCUCAACCUUGAGAGAAUAUUGAGUUUGUCUUAAAGUUAGCAGUGGUUUUAACCUACGAGUGAGAUCGCAAGCUGAUCAUAUAUUCCCUAUUGAUUGGGUCACUAUUGAUGGCAGUCGGUAGCAAUAGGUAUUCUCAAUAGAGACACCAUGAUCUCAUGGGAUUGAGACAUUGUAUCAUCUUGGGUGAUCCUAAGGAGGUGUAUUUAUGGAAAUUAUGGUCAUAAUAGUUCCAUAAGUGGAACUCAACAUAGGCUUUUUAAGAGUUAAGACAUGUCAAUUGAAUAUAUAAUAGGAGGAUCUAUAACUCAAGGAUAAUAAAGGUAGUCUUGAAAGGCUGAUACCUUUCACCUUAUUAGAUUAUGGACACUAGUUCAUGAAGAGAAUAAACACAAUGAAUAGCAGGUCACGAAUCUGAGCACGUAGUGUCUUAUUGUUAUUUACAUAGGAUACUAAGUUUAGUUGAUUCUCUGUAGUAGGAUGUUGAAUCAACUUUAGAAUUGGAUUAUGAGGUAGUCAAUACUCCUAUUGGUCCCAAUAGUCCCCAUUUUGAGCUUAUAUACCUUGUUGGCGUGCAUUAUGAGAGUCAAUUUAGCUCUAGGUUCACUUAUGUGCAUAAAAGCGCUUUGAUAAUUAUGUAAGGUUGCACAGAGGUAAGUGAACAAGGUCUAUGGAUUGAGCUAAUUGAUUAACUAGUAGACCAUAUUGGGUUAAUUAAUAAAUUAAAACCCAUUUUGGGUUAAAUUAAAUGACUCAAGCCCAUGUGGGCUCAAGUCACUUAAGUCUAAUUAGGAACUCUAUAAAUAUUCCCUACGGGUUAGGGUUUUCAUAACUUUUCUCUUCCACCAUCCAGAGAGAAAGAGAGUCAUAGUCUUCAUCCUCCUUUCUUCCUCACCAAAAGUGUGUUAAGAACAAGGUUGAGUCAUUGAGCGGAAGAUCAUGGGUCUACAAGACUUCCAACAACUUGAAAAUCAUCUUCAACAAUUGGAAUUUAAGGUUUGAGAACAUCCAAACCUAAAGGUUAGAUCUUUAACCCUAAAAAAUCAAUUUUAAAAAAAUGGUUAUUGCUUCCAUUACUUAGAUCUAAGAUGACAACAUCAAUAUCUAUUCCUCAGUUUGAAGAGGGUGUGUUGAAACCGUAUGAUUUUUAGGAGUUUAAAUCUAAAAUAAAACUAGAAGAUGAGGCUUGAUUGAGUCUUAUUAUGCUAGGUUUUUUAGUUUGGAUAAGUCCUAGAUUUAUAGGAGUUUGAAUUUAAAAUAAAACCAGAAGAUAAGGUUUGAUUGAAUCCUGUUAUUUUAGGUUAUUUAGUUUAGAUAAGUCUUAAUGUGUUUAAAUUUGGUUUUAUCUCUAGUUUGAAUUAGAAAGAAUAUAUCAUAUAAUAUUUUGUAAGUUGGUUAGUUGCUAAAUUCAGGGAUUGCUUUGUUUAUAUAAGUUUUGGAUGUAAGCCAUUUUUUUUUUAAAUAAAGUAUUAUUCAAUUUCUCUUCCAAAUUCAAUAAAUACCCCUUAGGGGUUAGGGUUUCCAUCACUUUUUGAAAUGAGUUGUUUUCCACCAUCUACAGAGAGAGAAAAUCAUAGUCUCCACAUUCCUUUCCUACUACUUGUGUGUUAAGGUUAAGGAAGAUCUUGGAUACUUGAGACCUCUGAAAAUUUCGAACUUCAUCUUCACGGCAUGAAAUAGAUUUGGGAACAUCCAAAUGUAAAGUAAUGUUUUUUAUUGCACAUUCUAAAUCCUAUUAUUGUUUUAGAAAUGCUAUUUUUCUAUGCAUAGGAUUUAAAAAAGCCUAUGAAGUCUUGCAUGCACCUAACUUGAUUUUGAGACAGGAAACCAAGAUAUUCGGGUAUCCCUACAACAUGUCCUUAGAAUCCCACAAUAGGACACAACCUCAAACCCAUAAGAUAUCAUCAUGCAUAUCUUAUGUAUACUUAUUACCACCUGUAGGGAAUAUUUUGAUUACUCCAUUCUUGUCCUUAGACUAGUUAGAGUGCAUGUUAUUCUUUUUAAGCCUCUAGAUCCUAGUAAUAAAAUCAUAUAUGCAUAUUAAAAACUUUGGAUCUAGAAGAGAAAUGCUUACCUUGAAUAUGGAUGUUUCCAAAUUAGAUCCUAUUAGUGAAAAGUUAUUAAAAAAUGCUAUAGAUGGUAUAGAUCUCACAGACCAAACGAUUUUAUACUACGAUGACUCAUUCUUGAAUCCAAGCACAAAGAUGGUAGAGAUCUCACAAUAGUGGUGGUUAGAGUUUUUUCUCUCUCUUUAAAAUAAAUAGGAAGUAAGAUUGAUGCCUUUACCCCUAAGGGGGUUUAAAUAAGCUUAACCCCUCUUGGGCUUAGAUCACUUAAACUAAUCCACUUGGGUCUUAAUUGAUUUAUUAACCCAAUUGAACUCAAUUAAUCAAUUAACUUAGUCCAAAAAGAAUAUUCACAAGUUCUUAUACAACCUUGCAUAGUUACCAAAACCAAAACACCCUUUGUUAUUAUAGAAACUACUUGUCCUAUCAUGAUAUUAUCUUUUGUUAUAACUAUUCUACCACACUUCGAACACAUUUUUAUCUUGAUGUUAGUUAAUUGUCCUUCAAGGACAUCAAUUUAUGAUAUUUGCUUAUAUGUACAAAUUUUCAAGAAAUUUUACCUUGUACAACUUAUUAGACAAACAUCUUAGAAUAUACUUAUUAAGUAAUUGAUGUUAUGUAUAGAUAAAACAAAGAUACAUAUUAGCAAAUACAACAUAUACUAUGUUAAAUAAAAUGACAUAAUAUAAGAAAGUAAAUAUUCUAGGUGAUAAUUUAAGAAUAAACAUUAUUGAUCAAUUAGUCAAUUUUAUCAUUAAGAUUUUCAAAGAAAAUUGGAAUCAUCUAAGUGAGAUAUGUCAAUCUCAACUCUAUCGGUAAGGUCUUUCUCUAUCUUCAAUCCUUUUCUUUUAAUAACACUCGAUAAAAGUCAAACAAAUGUUUGAUUGUACUAUAUAUACUCAUCAAGUGUCAUUACAUGUGACACCUUUAACAAUCAUUUUUUUUAACGAUUUUUUGUGGGUUUAUUUUGCAAAUCGAACUUUCUUUAUCAUUUUAACUUAUCUUGGCAAGAUGUGGUUUUUUUUUUUAAAUAAAAAUAAAAAUAAAAAUAAAAAUGAUGACUGCUAUACAAUCAAGAGUUUAUUUAUAUGAUGAUUUAUAUAAUUAUAUUAUAUCUUGGUCCAUGAAACCAUUCCUAAUUUAUUACAUUUACUUCCGAGAAUGACUUUGAUCUAGUUGACUAAAACUAUGAUCUUUCAUAUAAAAGUUGUCAUUCUAAAAUAUUUUUAGUUAUAGUGAGCUGUGGGAAGGAUUGUAGUGUUUUAGUAGUUAUAUUUCCCUUGCAUGUAUGUUUCACUUUACGACUUAGGUUAUAAAUUUUCUAUAUAAAAACAUUGUUUGUAUGACUUAUGAACAUGAGAAAUUAUAAAAUUAACAUUUUUAUAUCACUCAUGAGAAAUCAUAUCAUAGUUAUUUUUUCUACAUAACUUUUAGUUAUAAUAAUAUAUAAAAUCCUUAAAUUCAUAUUCCAUAAAUUUUUCCCUUGUGAAAUACAAAUUUUAAAAUAUUUACACUAAUCUCCCUAUUUUUUAAGUGACAAAAAAUAAUUUUUGAGAAAGAGUAUUGCAUUUAUUCAUGGAUUCCUAUUCCAAUAUUUUCCCAUGUGAAAUACAAUUUUUAGUAACAUUUACACUAUUUUUUUUUUUUUUUACUAAUUUCCCCUAUUUUUCCUAAUGAAUAAUUUUAUAAUAAUAAAAGAAAAUUUUCCAUGGUUUCAAAUAAAGUUGUGCAAAAUUAAAAUUUGAGAAGUUUGUUUUGUAAAAAUUUUGGUUAUAAAAUAAAAUUAAUUAUUUGCAUGGCUUCCGUUAUAGAAUAGUUAAUGGAUAAUUUUGUUCUAUAUCAUUUCUAAUUACACAAUAAAAUUAGAAAUGUUUUAUGACUUCUAGUUAGGAGGCAAGUGUCAAUAAAAAUUAUCUUAAAAAUUUUCACUUAUGAGAUAAAGUAAAUAAAAAUUAUAAUAAAAAUAGAACAUGAUGAAAUACACUUUAAUUAAUUUUAUUUUUAUAAUUAAAAUUUGAACUUACUAGAGAGUAUUAGGGUGAAGAUUUGAUACCAAUUUUUUUAGUAGAAGGUAAAUAUCUAGAAAAUUUUUAAAUAUUUAUAUUUAGAAAUAAAUUAUAGUUAAAAAAUAGUCAUUACAUUUUUUAAAAUAAAAAUAAAAAUAAUUUUUUGUAUAGCUUUAACCAUUUAUAACUUAUGAAAUAAUACUAUAAAUAAGAAUUUAACCAUUUUAUUUAAAUAAUAGGGCUAUUUAAUUAAAAGAGCCAUUAAAAACCCAAUUUUAGAAAUCCAAUCCUUAAUUUUUUUUGGUCAUAUUUUGACAAAAAUGUCUUUAUUCUUUUUUUAUAAAAAUAAUAAUUUCUUUUAAAAUUUACAUAUAAAUACUUAAAAUAAUUAAGGACAUUUAUGUUAAAAAUAAGUUACUCUGAAAAUAAAAACACAGAAAUAUUAAAUUCAUAAAUAUGAGAAUUAUUUCAUCUUUUUAUUAAUCAAUUCUAAAUAAUAUGCUUUUAUGUCAACGAGUGUAUUUAUGAUGUUUACAUUUUUAAAAAAAUAUCAUUUAAUAAAUGUAAGGGCAAAUUUAUAAAAGAAAUUACCGUUUAAGGGCAAAUUUAUAAAAGAAAUUACCGUUGGACUUUAACAGUUUUUGUUAUCAAACAAUAAGAUUAAAUUCAAUGCUUAAAUAUAAAACAAUAUCAAACACUUUUUGCUUCCACUAAUUUCUGACACUUAUGAUUUCAAUACUACGUGUAGGACCUGAGGCGCUACUAACUCUCCUAAAAGCAAUUGUUGUUAGGAAAGACGCAUACCCUAACCUUAUAGUGCAUUCACCCAAGCGUCCACGAUGAACAUAAGGAGAGUUGAUGGAUGCGACCAACCUUCCGAUCUGUCAACACUACAGAUUUUUCGCACCUAUAAAAGAACUUUUACAUUUUAUUCGAGAGUUAUUGUCAUUUUUUUUUGUUUUUAAAAAUAAAAAAUAAUUGAAUUUAAAAAAAAUCUCAUAUUGAAUUGAUUUUAUUUAGCCGUACAUUUGUGAAAAUAUAAUUCCAUUUCAAAAAUUAAUUCAACAAUUGAAUAAAGUCAAAAUCAUUUCUCUUCCUUUAACUUCAUGGUUAAGGAAUCAAAUGUUCUCAUCGGAAGGCCCAUCAUAACAGUAUGGCCCUGACUGUACAGAAUCACAACCUCCUAAAGGGCGAAAGACCUUGCCUUAGAAAACCGAGUGAAAAAGGAAAGUCCCAUUCUCUGUUGCCGAAGAAGAAGAAGAAAGGAAGCUAAGUUGAGGUGAGAUUUGUAUGGUUUUUUCUAUUUUCUUGGCAACCAACCAGAUUAGUUUUUUCUUUUCAUUGCUUCCAUUCUUGGAUGGGAUCUGAAGUUUGUGCGGGAGCAGUCUGAUUCUUUCGUUCGAAACGGUGUCGUUUUUGUUGCUGCGAAGCCGAAGUCGAAGCGACUUCGCUCUUCGCUUUGAUCGGAACCGUGGAUUUUCGCCUUGGUGAUUGGAUAUAGGUUGUAGUAUUUUUAUGAUGUUUUCGUGUUUGGGCUUUGCUGUAUUUGAUGAGCAUUAGGGUUUCUAUCACAUGGCGCCCUCUUCGGAGCCGUUAAGGUGAUAUUGGUUGAUGGAGCCCUGCUUUAGAUAAUGAUCCAUUUGCUAGGCUGAAUAAUAUCAUACAGUCACCGUUCCCGAUUGUUUUUUACAAUAUAUAUAUAUAUAUAUAUAUAUAUUUUUUUUUCAUUUUUCAUUUUUCUGUUAAAGAAUUUUUCCUUGAUUGAAAGUCGGUGCGGGGUAGUAGCAUGCUGUCAAAGCUGCUGCUAUUCGAAUAAUUUUUUUGGAUUCCUUUAUUUUUUGUUAUGUGUUUGUGUGUAUGUUUUGCCCUAACAAUGUGUAGAAUUAAUAUGUGGUUAGCGAUGGAUCUUAGUAGGAUUAUAGUGAUAUUUUAUGGUUCUGGAGUAACCAUGUUAAUGGGGUCAACAGCUCCUGCAGAACAUGUGUGAUGUAUGGAGGGGUUGUUUAGGGUGAGAGACUCUACCAUUAUGGGAGUUGUUUUCCAUGGUAUAUAGUCAUAUCAAUUCGUGAGUCAUGGAAUGCCUGUUUGUUGGAUUGUCCUCACUUAAAGAUUAGGUUAUAAGUGAGCUUGUGUUUUUGAUGGUAAGAUUAAUUAUCCUUUGGUGUCUUGACUGAGAUGAAAACAAAAAACCAUAUCAGUCCUAAGUGUUCCGAUUCAAUACUGCUGUCUCUCAAGCUUUGCUGAUUUCCAGACUUAAUGGAAAAUUUAUGUCCCAGAGCAGCAUUUCAGAUGAAAAGAUAUCACCUUGAACUCUACUAAUGUAGCAUGUUUGGGGUUUAGCUUCCUAAAAAAGUUACCUAUGAGCAGCUGGAUUAGAAGCAUAUAGAUGAGAAAGGAUAGUAUGUGAUUGUGUGGACUAUGAUCAUGUCAAAAUUGUGUUUUUGGUGUUUUGGAAGUAUCUUAGGUGUACUCCCUUUAUUCUCAAACUACGAAAAAGAUGAAUGUAUUUUACUUUUGAGGGACCUUAAAACCUGCAGAAAGUAUCUUAGUUGCCAAAGGAUUAUGUUGUUAACCAUUGGAGAAAUGUGGGAAUGGCUCUGGGAAGGUACUUUGGUUAGCACUAUAAAGAAAGUUUAUGGAGAAAGAGGUUAAUAUCAGAAUUAGGCAUGAUGCUAAUGAUAUUAGGAUACAAAUGGUUCAACCUCUUGUAGAAUGGGAAGCUUGGAGACUUGUGACCCACAUAUUGAAUCUUGAUUGAUGGAGAUAUCCUUCUUCUUUUCCAUUAAGUACUGUGGAGAUAUAAUUACUGUGUGUAUAAAGGGACAUAACCCCUGUACCCGUGGAGCAUACCUGAAGGCCACAAAGGGACAGAAGAGGAAUACAAGAUACAACUAAAAGUGAAAGGAGCAAAAAUGACAUGCACGCACAGAGACAUCACUCCAAACAAGGAUACCCCUUCCAUAUAUUCAAUGAAAUCUAAGAAGGAGCUCCUAUGAUCCACAGUCAAUGUUGAUGACCACACAAAAUGGGAGAGAAAAAUCGUGCCUGUAAGCUUUCAGCCUGGUAAUUCAAGGCCCUCAUACGUUGUUGAAUUGUGCCCUUUCCACAACCCUAAUGGAAUGCUCAUCGGGAUUGCACUUCACAUCUUCUCCUUUCACUCCUCGCUUGUCAUGUCAACUCUCCUACACACAAUUUCAAGGUUUUUGGGAUAAUCUAGAGAACUUAAAGCAUCGUAAAAACAUGGACCACUUUUUAUGAACCAGUGGGUAAUAAGCAACAAAUGGUCCUUGGCCUCAUGAUUUGACUUACACAUGUAAUACCAGUUGGAAAGAUUUUCCCUUUUCUAACCAACUGGUCAAUGGUUAAAAUUCUAGUCCAAGCUACCAUUGCACUGGAAUGAAUGCCACUUGAAGAGGAACUGCAGGAUCCCAAGUCCAUUUUUUGGGAAAAGCCACUUCCUGUCUUGCCUCUUCUUACAGAAGAAUUUAAUCAAGAAAUUCUUACAUGAAAUCAACAUCUACCAUCCACCCCCCACCGUUAUUGUUUCACCUAUUCAUCAACUAAGGUUUUCUCUCUUCCUUUUUGCUUGCUUGUUCAAUGCUGUGUGUAUAUAUUGUGUGUACUUUGCCUGUGCUCUUUUCUGGCACUUUUAAUAUAUUUUCUCAUUUGCCUAUAAAAAGAAGAGGGAAAAAGAAUCUUCACCGAACCUUUAAAACUCUAAUAAUCAGUCACCUGGUCAUCCUUAUUACCUGGAAUCUUGAACAAGUUGAGGUAUCCUUUUAUUUUUUAUUUUUUAUGAGAAACAACAAUGUAAUAUAUUGAAUUAGGAAUUAAGAAGUAUAAUAGAAGAAUGAGGAAUCCUUCCACAAACAAAAGCUAAACAAAAGGAAUACCAUAAACACAAGUUGAGGUAUCCUGACACUCUAAUAAUCAGUCACCUUGUCAUCCUUUAUACCCGCAAUCUCGAACCAGUUUGGAUAUCUUGAAACUCAAAUAAUCAGGCACUGUUUCAUGCCAACCUGUUGCCAUUUCUCACCUUGAACCUGCAAUGUCAAAAUAUCUCUCCCAUCCAAUGCCGAUUUUUCAUAACCCUACCGCAAAGGAACCUUUCAACACCUUGGAACACUACCCUCUCACUUCUUCCCCAUACUUAUCAUGCACUACUCUUUCCUAGCUAUUGCAUUGCCACAAUAAAAUCUCCAAAUCCAGUUACCCAGCAUAUCCUUAUUCAUCACCUCCAAACAACCCAACUUCCUUUGACCAGAAAAUCACCUUCCUGUUUGUUGGAUGAGUCUUCAACUCCUUUGUCCUUUCUUGAGGCCCUUCUCAAUCAUUUUGCCUUUUCCUAACUCACUUUGGAAUGAAAAAUGUUGACAUAAAAUAAGUUGGCAUAUCUGUUAAUUUUCUUAUAUUAAAGCAACUCUUACCGCUUGUUGACAAGUAUUGUCUCUUCCUGCUAGCUGGACACCUUCAACUCUCAGAAUAAUUGGACCCCUCACUAGGUGUAUUAGGAGGACACAUGAAGGGAGGCCAGGUUAGUGCAAGAACACACCCUACAAUUAAGAAAAUGAGUCAAACCUCCAACAUUCUCCUCCAUCCUGAUGGGGGGAUGAUCUUGCUUUUCACCAAGUCAAUCCUUGACCUUGGAACUGCCUUGAAACAAAGAUCCACACAUUGAAGAUAUCUUAACUAGUUCCCCUUGCCUUAUGAAGGCAAUUUUUUCAUCAGCAUAUAUAAGAUGAGGAAUGAGCUCUCUACGAUUCUCCCUCCACCAUGUUGAAAGCCUUCAAUGAAAACUUAUUCCUUUGCUUUGCACAUCAUCCCCCUACCCUGAAUCUCAAGCAAGAAUGGUGAUAAAGGGUCUCCUUUUGAGUCCCUCUAGAGUUCUUAAAGAAUGCAAUUGGCAUAAUGCUAUUGAUUGCUGAAUAUCUAAUUGACUUGUUGCAUGUUUCAUUCUACUCCAUGAACUUUUCCUUGAAUCCCAUAUGCUCACAAACAUAAAGGGUUUCUAUUUCACAUGAUCAUAUGUUUUCUUUAUAUUCAACUGGCAUCUCACAUUAGCAUUUUCCUUUCUUGGCAUCAAUGCACUAGGUUAUCAGAAAUUUUCUUAUCCUCUUCAAGAAUCGUGUGAGCCCAAAUACCAACUUAUCUAAAACCUGUCUCAAACUUCAAGCUAAAAGGCAUGGGUAAGCUUGGAAAUGUCCUCUUAUAGGCCUAAAAUUUUCUGGAUCAUUUUCUCCCCUUUUCUUGAAACAAACACAAUGAAACUUAAUUUAAACUUUUCUCAAAUUCACACAUAACAUGAAAUCAGCUCACCAGUUCCAUAGCCUGCCUUUGUCCAGUCCCUAAUUUUGAUAUUAGUAAAAAUACCAUAAUAGCACCCCAAUUUAGAAUUGUCACCCCCUAAAUCUUUAAUAGCCUUGGCAACCUCUUCCUCCUCAAAAUCCCUUUUAAGUAACCCUUAUUUAUUUGCAAUGUCCUUGUGGAAUGUGAUUUGACUAUAGUUAUUUCUUGGGUCUAAGAGAAAAAGUGAAAUCCAUGGAAAUGACAUGUAUAAAAUCAGUGAUUUAUCUGUAGAGUUGGGUUGUUCCUAUACUUGGCAUCCUCUUCUAACUGACCAAUCAGUAGAUAGGUUGGUAAUGUGAGGUGCCUUAUUUCUAAAUCCUAAGUAGUGGAGAAUAUGCUCCCUUGAUAUCUGUAUUUUCCAUUUGUAUUUUGAUGGUUUGCUUGUUUUGGCUUUGCUUUCUUUUGUUGUUGUUCUCUUUAAGGGCUUUCAUUCCUAAUAUACAUUGAAUUUGUGAAUUGGAGAAGUAUUUAUUGUUUCAAAUGCAAAAGGGAAGGGGAAACUAGAGCUAAUCUUCAAAUCAUCUGCCCUAGGCCUUCAAGGCACUAAGUUUGAAUAUAAACCUUGGAAGUAAUGGAUAACCCUGAGGCUAGUUUCAUUACUCUUGUAUUUCCAGCCUAUGUUGGUAAUCAACAUACUCGUAUGGUUAUAGGGCUUGUGCAUAUGGUGAGUAAAAGCAGCCUGUAAAAGAAUGUAUUCUUGUCUCUUUUUUUCAAUCACAGUGCCUUCUAACUUUGGCGGCAAGUAAUCCCCUCUAUUUGGCCAAUUUAUGACAUGGUCCUUCCUCCUGUAUUUUUCUUUUGUUUUCUUAGGUUGCUGUACAUUUUAUGUUUUGAAAUUAGUAUUUAGUUCCAUAAGGCCCAUUUAUGUUACAUGAUUUGUUUGAGAGAUUGUUAUGAUUAUUAUUAUUAUUAUUAUUAUUUUCUUUUUCUUCUGGUUCUCUCUGGAACUUGAACCUGAAACCUCCCAUAACCCUGGCCUCUUACCACUUGAGCUAGGCCGUAAGGGCAGAUUUUCAGUAUUUGAUUUGGAAAUUGUAUUUUAUGUUUGAGGAUAGUUUUUUCUUUGCUCGGUUACUAUUCUGUGUAGGUUCAUGCGGUUAGCAUUUGCUGGCUUCAGCUUGUUUGUGUCAUUCUCUUGUUGAGUGUUUUGACUUGAUAUGUGAAAUGAUUGUGAUACCUUGGUCUCUGGGUUCAAGGUGUCGGCCUUAAUCUUCUUUAUUUUUUAUUUUUUAAAAUCUUAUAUCUUCAAAUAAAUAAUAAUAAUUUUUUCCCCAGGGCUGAAAGUUCUUUUUCUGCUUCUGAUUUUAAAUUACACUUGGAAGAGGUUAUGGGAAGUUAUUGUUAUUAUGGUCUUAUGUUCGAACAUAAAUUGGUGUAUGUAGUUGAGCAAUUCAUAAAUUCCAGUCAUUUUUUUUUCAGGCCAUGAUUUUAAGAUUUAAUUCAUUCCAAGAAUUUGCAUUUUGAUUUGAUGGGUCAUGCGAUUUAGAAUGAUUUUAUAUAUUAUUGAACUGAAUUCAAGUCUAUUUGUUCUAAAAAUUUGUGAAGGCAUUAUUGAGUUUUUCUUGGGGCAAUUUUGAUUUAAGAAUAUUUCUCAUAUAUGACAUCUGUGCUGUACUUUUUACUGAUUUAUCUCGCUGGCCCUUAAAGCAGGGAAUUUCUACAUGAUGGCGGAGUGAUGCAUUUCUCAAUGACAAAGAUCUGUUCCUGCUAUAGCAGUCAUCUAUUUUUUAUAGUAUCAUAGUCUUAGACUGAUACAUAUGGCUGGGCUUUUAACUGGGGAUCCCUCGAAUAGUGGAAUUUUUGAGGAUGGAUCUUGCUGCAAUUCAAAGGAUGGGCUAGAGGAAGGUGGUCAUUGGUAUAUGUCUAGGAAGGAAAUAGAAGAAAAUUCCCCAUCAAGAAGAGAUGGCAUUGACUUGAGGAAAGAGACAUAUUUCCGAAAAUCAUACUGCACUUUCUUGCAGGAUUUAGGCAUGAGGCUUAAAGUGUAAGUCCUAUACAAAAUGUUGUUCUGGAUUAUGUCUCCUUUUUGAACUGGUUGUAGGCAAUUCUUUCAGGUAAUUGGUUGCAUCAUUUCAGGUUUGCAUUGAUAUUUUAGUUUACAUCUUUGUUGCGUUUUUAUUACACUUUUUUAAGUAGGAUUAUUAAAUUGAGUUGCUGAAAAUGGUUCUUAACCAAAUUCUUUUGCUUGAUGUGAGGUGUACAAAGUGUAGAUGAAUGAAAUUGCUGUUUGAUUACAUGGAACUUCUUUAGUAGAUAAUGUGGGAAUAAUUAUUUCUGAUGGUAGAUGUUGUAUGGUGGGCCAAUACUGGUCCUCUGUGCAUGUAGUAGAAUUAAAGAUGUAUUGUACUCAUGUAGAUUGUUUCCUUGAUAGUCAAAGAGUUUUUAUUUGCUUAUGGAGACAACAUUAAUUUUCAGCUUACUUGAUGUGUUGCAUGAAUGCUUCUAAAUCAGUGACAUAGGUGGGCCUCUGCACUCUCUAAGCUUCUCUGUUUAGAUUUCAUUAAUUCUAAUCUGCUGCAGAGCUCAAACUGUCUCUAGGAGAAUAGUAUAAUUUUAUUAGGAGCUUAAUGUCAUGGACUUAGUCGUUUACUAAGCUCCUGCGGCACUUAGACAAGUCAAGACGCUUGAUCUUGCUAAAUCAGCCUUACUCCCAAUGCUUAGCUUGCUAGGCUAAGACGUUUGCGACUCGGAAGUUGUAGAAGACGUAGUAGGCAACUCUUAAAGAAUAGAAACUUCUUAUUACUCAAGGUAGCCUUUACAAGUGCUUUGAGGACUCGCUUGGUUAGGAAGUGAUUUGGGUGGUGCCUUGGCCAAAUGAGACCCUUACCUAUUUAUAGGCACCAAUGGAACUCUCUAGAACCUUGGAGGGUUCCUUACAAAUCAAGAAGAUUCUAGAGUGCCCUACACAAUUCUAUGUACAACCCUAUGUACAAGAGAUCUCUAGAAUUCUCUAGAAAGCCUUGGACUCCUCUCAUGCCUUCCACCAUAGUGUAGAGAUGUGUGAACAUCUCUAGGCAUCUCUAGAACCUUUCCCACUCUUCCCUCCAAUGGCUUUGUGUAGAUGGCUCCAUGAGUCUCCAGAAGCUUCCUGAGCUCUAUAUAAACCCAUGAGGAGGCUCAUUUGAAGCAUCCUGUGACAUUAAGCUAACUGAAGCUUUGCUUUCUUUCAUGCUCACAUACUGUAGUUUAAAUAUGUGUUCAUGUUUGUUGAAGCUAUUUUUUUUAAUAAAGGAUAAGAGGAUGAUGGGGAUAUGCCCCUAAGGUUUUUUCAAAAGAAAAAAAAAUAAAGGAAGAAAAGGGUGUUUUGGCAUUUUUUGCAGAUUUGGGUUAUUUGGAGUUAACACGAUUGGUACCUUAAUGAAGUCAAGCUUGAUUAGUAUGUUUUUACAUCUCAUCCUUUUACCCCAAAAUGCAUUAAUUCCUAUGUGAUUGCCAAUAAAUGUUAGUGGAGACCUUGCAAUGUGCAAGCACAAGCACAACAUGUGUUCCAAGGGUACAUGUUUUCAUAAAUUUAUUGACAUAUUGCUGCAUAAAACCUGGCCAAAUUGUUGAUAUAAUUAUAUACCAUAACAUUUUUUUUUAUCAGAAUAAUUAUAUAACAUUUUUUUUUAUCAGAAUAAUUAUAUACCAUAACAUGAAUAUUAGAAAUCUGGUUUCAUUGCAGACCCCAGGUAACUAUAGCCACAGCAAUAAUAUUUUGUCAUCGGUUCUUUCUUUGCCAAUCUCACGCAAAGAAUGACAGAAGGGUGAGUGACUACUCUCUUUCCAAACUGAUUAUUUUUAACCAUCUUGAAUCUUGUUCAUAAGUGUUGAUUUAGUUUUAUCAUUUUGGUUCAAGGAUGAGUUGUAGUGACAUAUGGAGUUCUAGUGACACAUUUCAAAACAUGAGCAGUGGUUUGGUCUGAUGUUUUAGAAGUUUUUGAUUUGAAUUAAUAAACUUUAAGUUGUAGUCAACAUGUGACAUUAGCAAGAAUGAGGGCACUUACUAAAAGCAUGUUCAUAUGAUUUUUUCCCCCUUAGAGUUAAGCUAUUUUAUCCACCAUAGGAGCCAACAAGAAGGAUGUACAAGAAUGCCCAGAAGUAAAUACAGAGGCAUACUAUUGAAGAAAUUAUCAUUGAUUCUUGAUGUGUCUAAAUUUGUGUCAUGUUGACAGUGAUUCGGCUCACUAUUCAUAAGUAGGAUCAUAACACUUGGAUACAGAAUCCCUGUGUACUUUGGUGUGCUUUUUGAUAAGCUCUGUACAUAUAUUUUUUUGCUUGCUUAUCAGGAAAAAAAAAAAAAAAAAAGAAGAGCACUUGGGUGCAGAAUCCUUCCAUAUGGGGCACAACUCCUAUGGUGUUGUGGUACUCUGGCAGCUGUUCUUUUUCAGAAUUUUAGGGAUAAAAAAAAUAAUUGGUAGCUAAGCAUGCUUACUUAAUAAAACAUAUAAAAUGGUUAUCUUGAUUAGAUCAUUACCUUUCUGGUUUAAUUGCCUGUUUCUUUGAACUACAAGAAACCAGGGUUGGAUUAUUUUUUUUUUAUAAUUCAUAAGACUGCCAACCUUUCUGAGGGUGCCAAGUACUCUAUGUCAUUAACAGGCUAUUCUUAGGCUCUGGUCACCUUGUGCUAUUUUUUAUUUUGCCUUUAUUUAAUCAUAUAAAUUUUUGAUGUUUGCUGCAGAAUUCCUUUUUUUUUUUGGGCAAAUGAGCUAAGUGUGAUUUGAGGGUAUGCAGAAGCUAUGAUAAGAGAACUUGUUGUGCAUGGGAAGAAAAGUAGAUAAAAAUGAAAUACGCAAGAGAUUAGUUGGUUUUGCAUUUGAUCCAUUCUUAUCGCUACCUUCUUUCAUAUGCUUUACAGACCAUCGCCACAGUAUGCAUGUUCCUCGCAGGGAAGGUUGAAGAGACUCCACGCCCACUGAAGGAUGUUAUCCUUGUUUCCUAUGAAAUAAUUCAUAAAAGGGAUCCUGCUGCUGUCCAGAAGAUCAAACAGAAGGUGCCUUUUCUAUUGUUCAAUGCUUUUACCAGUAUAUUUGUAUACUUUCUUUCUCAUUCUGAUGCUUGCCUAUUCUCCUCCAUACCAAAAAAAAGGUUGUGGUUGGGGGCACAAGUGCAAGAAGCUACAUAAUUAGGGGUUUGGGUAUGAAGAAGUAUAUGAACAGGAGUGAUGGGAAAACUCAAGAAACAAGGUUUUACAGAAAUAAUCCAACAGUAUCUUUAUUAAUUUGUAAGAACUAAAGAAAAUAAACUUGUAAUCAUACGAGAGAUGCACUGAAAUUUUUUGUUGGGAGGUUAAAGGAUUUAAUAUCAUGUGUUUUCCCUCGCAACAAACUUAGUUUGGAUAAAAUUAGAAGGAUGAGAUUAAGCAAAUAAGAAGAACAUGACUGAAGUUGUUUCCUUCUAGUCUAAUUAUAGUUUCAAGGUGUUCUCUGAGGGCUGCCAUUGUGUUGCAGCUUUUAGUUUGGAUAAAAUUAUUGUUUCCUAUACUGAUUAUUAGGGAAAAAAAUAUAACAUUUUGAAAAGAUAAAUAUAACAUUUCGAAUGCUUUCUUGGAAUGUAAGAGGGGUUAAUGGCAGAGACAAAAAGAAGGUGAUCAAGGCUUUGAUAAAAAAAAUAGGGUGGAUUUGGUUUGCUUGCAGGAAACUAAGAUCCAGGAAAUGUCAAGGGGUCUUGUUCAUAGUUUAGGAGUGGGGAGAUUCUUAGAAUGGGGAGCUGUGGACUCAAGGGGAGUUGCUGGAGGUAUAGUGGUUUUUUGGGAUAACAGUGUGUUGGAAUUGGUCAAAUUGGAAGCGGGCAUGUUCUCAAUCUCUUGCCAUUUUAAGAAUUGUGAGGAUGGUUUCAGGUGGACUCUUAAGGAGGGAUAGGGAGUGUUUCUAGGGUGGGUUGGGGGCCAUAAAGGGACUUUGGAGUGACCCUUGGUGUGUUGCUGGGGUUUUUAACUCAAUUAGAUGUCUUGAAGAGUGUAGCAUGCGAGGGAGUUUGAACUUAGACAUGAGAAGGUUCUUUGAGGUAAUAGAAGACUUAGAGUUAAAAGACCUGCUGUUGUUGGGGGGGCCCUUUACUUGGAGUGGAGGGGUGAACAAUCAAUCAAUGUCAAGGUUGGGUCGGUUCUUAGUGAAUGAGGGGUGGGACUAUCGUUUUAGCUAGUUGAUGCAGUGUGUCUUUUUGAGACCUGUGUUUGACAAUUUCUCAGUUCUUUUAGAUAGUGGAGGUUUGAGGAGAGGCCCCUCCCUUUUAGAUUUGAGAAUAUGUGGUUGAAGGUGGAGAGCUUUAAGGAUCUCCUGAAGUUGUGGUGGGAGGGGGACAACUUUAAUGGCUCUUCAAGUUUUAUUUUGGUGUCAAAAUUACAUGUUGUGAAGUUUAAACUGAAGGAGUGGAAUAGAGAUGUUUUUGGCAGAGUUGGAGUUAGGAAGGAUUUGGCCUUGAAUCAAGUGGACUAUUGGGAUGCUAAGGAAAAAACUAGCAUCUUGUCUUUGGAGGAGUUGGAAGCAAGAAAAGAAGUGAGGAAAGAUUAUAAAAAAUGGGUUCUGUUAGAAGAGAUUUCUUGGAGGCAAAAAUUUAGGGAAGUGUGGUUGAAAAAGGGUGACAGAAAUACUGGUUUUUUCCACAAGAUGGCUAAUGCACACAAAAGAAGGAAUUAUGUGGACAUAAUUAAUAUUAAUGGUGUUUGAAUUUUGGAGGGGAAUGAAAUCAAGGAAGGGGUGGUCAGAGCCUUUCUGUCUUUGUUGUCCAAUUCGGGGGACUGGUAUCCUUCUUUAUCUGGGUUGCAGUUUGAAACGCUAGAGACUGUGGGCACUUUAGGUUUAGAGAAGCCAUUCUUGGAAGAGGAGGUUUUUGGUGCUCUGUAGGGGUGCAGUGGGGACAAAGCACUAGGGCUUGACGGUUUUUCUAUGGCAUUUUGGUAGUUCUCUUGGGACUUUGUGAAGGAUGAUGUGAUGAGAUUCAUCAGGGAAUUUUAUGAACAUGGUAACUUUGUUAAAAACCUGAAUGCAACCUUUUUGGUUUUAAUCCUAAAAAAAGCGAGUGCUGAAGAUCUAAGGGAUUUUAGCCCUAUAAGUUUGGUGGGGGGGCUGUAUAAGUGGCUGAUCAAGGUUUUAGCCAAUAGGCUAACAAAGGUGGUUUCUAAGGCCUAAGGGGUGUUUGUGGAGGGUAGGCAAAUCCUAGAUGCAGUGCCGAUUGCUAAUGAAGCCAUUGAUUCGAUCUUGAAGAAUAACGAAUGUGGUAUCUUGUGUAAACUUGACAUAGAGAAGACAUAUGACCAUGUGAACUGGUCUUUUCUUCUCACAGUUAUGCAGAAAAUGGGUUUUAGGGAGAAAUGGAUUGGGCGAAUCAUGUGGUGCAUUGACACUGCAAGUUUCUCUGUGUUGGUUAAUGACACCUCUACUGGUUUCUUUCAAAGCUCAAGGGGUUUGAGGUAGGGGGAUUCGCUUUUGCCUUAUUUAUUUGUGAUUGCUAUGAAGGUGUUUAGUUGUCUCCUAAAGAGGGCAAUGGAUGGAGGUUUUUUGUUGGUUUACGAGGUGAAGGGUAAGAGUGGAGAAGGGGUUUAGAUAUCCCAUUUGUUGUUUGCUGAUGAUACCUUGGUGUUCUGCCAAGCUUCCUAAGAUCAAAUGACCUAUCUUAGCUAGUUGCUUAUGUGGCUUGGGGUCGUAUCGGGGUUGAGAAUAAAUUUGGAAAAGAGUGAAUUAAUUCCAGUGGGUAGGGUGGAGAAUAUUGAUGACCUUGCAAUUUGGAUUUAGAGUGGGUAGCCUCCCAUCCACUUAUUUGGGCCUUCCUUUGGGUGCACUGUUUAAGUCAGUGACAAUUUGGGAUGGAGUAGAAAAGCGGUUCCGUAGAAGGUUGGCUAUGUGGAAGAGACAAUACAUUUCCAAAGGAAGGAGAACGACCCUACUUCGAAGCACGUUGUCGAAUUUACCCAUCUAUUUUAUUUCUUUGUUGCGCAUGCCGAGCUCUUUAGAUAGAGACUAGAGCAAAUUUAUAGGGAUUUCCCUUGGGGAGGUGGAAAUUAGGAGCGAAAACCUUAUUUAGUAAGAUGAGCGUUGGUGUGCUUAAGUAAGAAGAAAAGGGGUUUGGGUGUCAAGUGUCUUUCAACACUAAAUAAGGCUCUUCUUUGUAAAUGGAAUUGGUGGUUCGCAAAUGAGAGAGAGGCUUUGUGGAAUCAAGUGAUUAGAGGGAAGUACGGGGAGGAAAGAGGAGAAUGGUGUUCUCGGGAAGUGAGAGGCAUAUGGUGUUGGGUUAUGGAAAGGGAUAAGGAUAAACUGGGACAUUGUGGGUACUAUGAUUUCUUUCCUUGUAGGUAAUGGGCGGAGGGUAGGAUUAUCGAGGGAUAGGUGGUGUGGGGAUUCCCCUUUGUGUGUGUCUUUCCCAUCCUUGUUUGCUUUAGCUGUUGAUAAGGAGGUGUGGGUGGUGGACAUUUGGGAUCCCUUGGCUGAGGGGGAUUGGGGGGGAUGGAACCCUUGUUUCUCAAGAUCCUUUAAUGAUUGGGAGGUGGAGGAGGCGGAAAGCUUCUUGAGGCGUCUACAUGGGAAGAGUGUGCGGUGAUGUGGAAGACAUGGUGCUUUGGACCAAAACAAAGAGUGGGAAGUUCUCGGUCAAAUUCCUCUACUAUGCUAUAGAGCUGGGCAGAUCUUCUUUGUUUCCCUCAAGUUGCAUUUGGAAUGUGUGGGUGCAACCCAAAAUUAGCUUCUUUGCUUGGGAAGCUACAUGGGGCAAAGUUUUAGCUUUGGAUUUAAUUCAAAAAAGAGGGUGGGCCCUGACAAAUAGAUGCUUUUUGUGCCAUGAGAAGGAUAUAAACCACCUUCUUCUUCAUUGUACUAAAAUAAGGGUCUUGUGGGAAUUGUAUUUAACCUUGGUUGGGGUGUUAUGGGUGUUGCCUUCUUUAGUUAGAGAGACUCUCCUUAGUUGACAUGGUUCUUUUGUGGGCAAAAAGUGUAAAAAGGUGUGGAGAGCAGCUCCUCUAUGCAUCUUUUGGACAGUUUGGAAGGCAAGAAAUAGAUUAGCCUUAAAUGAUGAUGUGUUUUCGAUUCAAAGACUCAAAUACCUUUUUGUUUUUUCUCUUUGGUCAGAGGCAAAGUUGUUUAUAACUAAUUGACCUUUAACUUUAGUUAAUUUUAUUAAUUGGUUGAGCUCUAGUUAAGGUUGUUUUUUUACCCAACUAGGCGCUUGUUUACUUGUACUUAUUGGCCGGUUUGGUGGUGGGUGUAUGGGUAUUGUAUACCUUGAGUUGCUCUUUUGACGCCUCUUUUCAAUAGAUCUUUUCUUUAUCUGUCAAAAAAUAAAAAAUAAAAAAAAUAAAACCACUUUUAUUAAAAAAUUAAAAGUGUCACUAGGACACACGAAAGUACACGGGAUGUAUGCAAAUAGCGCCUAAUAGCAUAAAAAAAUGAGAAAGAGCCCCAACAACAACACCCUUGCUUAACAAGAACCCGACCACUAAACAAAAUCAAGUAAAGACAUAGAAUUUGCCCUUAUGUACUUCUUUACCGAAGUAAACAAAUUUCUAAGAAAGAACAUUUUCAAAAAAUGACUUGAAUGCUCCUCGUUAUCAAAUGACUGAAGAUUCCUUUCUGCCCAAACCAUUCAAAAGAUACAUAAGAAAGCUGCUCUCCAAACCUUUUUACAUUUUUUUCCCACAAACAAACUAUGCCACCUUAAAAGAGCCUCUUUAAUAGUAGCAGCUUGCACCCAAUGGAUACCAAAAAGAUCAAACAACAACCGCCAAAGAAUCCUAACUUGCUCCACUAAAGGUGGGAAUUCUGACCAUAAUUGAAUCACAAAGCAUGAUGAGCCCACCACCACGUUAAACAAUAUCAACAAAUUUCUACCAUCAACUUUUACGAGAACUUUGGCACACUGCAAAAUUGGUAGAAUGUGGUGUCUUUGUCGAUUGCCACAAAACCACCACAAGUGUUCCCUAGUUUUAAAGAAGGUUACUUUAUCCCAUAAAUGCACAAGCAGGUCCACUACUCUCAUCCAUGCCUCUUUGACAUGAACACCUUUCCUAUAACAACCCAUAAUUGGAGACCAUCUACUUAGAAUACCUAGAAAAAGCAAUUUGUCCAUGAACAUCCUUCGUCCACUUUGGAGGGCCUUUUUUGCAUUAGAUAUUAACUCAAAUUCAAACAAGUUGACUUUCCCCUUUAGACUCCAAUUGUGCAUUCCCUCCUCUUUAAAGGAGGUAAAUUUGGGAUGUAAUAUGACGAUUUUCUUCGUUGUCUUGCAAUACAACCCCGAAGGACCUCCAUUUUUCUUCAUGCUUCUUCCCCUACUUGAUCUACAUUGCAUUGCCAAUCUCUGUCUAAGAACCAUGUACAAUGUAAAAAAAAAAAGACUUGUCUUUCUUAGAAGCCAUUGAAACACCCAUUGCUAUUGAAGAUGUUUUUGCUAGGGUAACUCUUUGGUCUUGUAGCUAGAAGAAAUCCCAAGGCUUCUUAACUCCCUAGCAAGAGUACUCCAUCCCCUAGGGAAUUCUCUACCUUCUAAGAACACCAAAACAAACCUCCUCGCCUCCAUAGAGCAUAAGAAAAAUCAUCCGGCCACAUUUCUUUGGAGCUCCAAUGAAUGCUUUCUUCCUCCUUUACUAUAAGCCUCUUGGAAAUGCUUUCUUGGAACCUUGAGACAACAUUCUUCCACCCCAGUUAGGAGUUGUUGUGGGAGUGAUUUCAAACUCCUAACUUGCUUUUGUGGAGGGAAGACAAAUCUUGGAUGCUGUCUUUAUAGCAAAUGAGGUGCUAGACUCAAGGUUGAAAAGCUAAAAAAGGGCGGUCAUUUGCAAAAUGGAUAUCGAAAAGGCCUAUGACCAUGUGAAUUGAGGAUUCUUAUUAGCAAUCUUGGAACAAUGGGCUUUGGGGCAAAAUAUGUAAGGUGGAUGAAGUGGUGCAUGUCCUUAGCUUGGUUUUUGGUUUUGAUUAAUGGGACCCCUACAAGUUUCUUUCAAAGUUCUAGAGGCCUAAGACGGGGAGAUCCUCUUUCCCCUUUUCUCUUUAUUUUUUUUUUUUUUGAUCAGAAACGAAGAAGAUUAUAUUAAUAAAAGAACAAAUACAGCCCUUUUCUCUUUAUUUUGGUAAUGGAAGUGCUUUCUAGUAUUUUGAAGACGGCUAUGGAGGGAUUCAUUAAGGCUAUGUUUGGUUCCCGGAAAAUUUGAGGGAAAAUGCGAGGGAAAGAAAAUACAAAGGAAAAGUAGAAGGAAAGAAAAAGUGAAGGAAAAUAAAAAAAUAGAUUAAAAGUUGAUAAAUUAUUUUUUUUGUUACUUCAAACUCAUUUGAUUUAUUUUAACUCAUCAAUAUAAAGAUUAAAUAAUUUAAAAAUACAUAAGUUUUUAAUUAGUUUUAAUUAUAUUUGAUUUUCUUUGAUAUUUUUCAUAGGACAACCAAACAUGAGAAAAUCAUUUUCCUUAGCAUUUUUUUUCUUUCCUUUGUACUUUCCGGGAACCAAACAUAGCCUAAGGGUUUCUUGGCCAGUGGGAGAGGAGGAGAGGGUAUGGUAGCGUCCCAUCUUCUUUUUGUUGAUGAUACAGUGAUUUUUUGUGAUUUAGAUAAGGAGCAUUUGGAGGCUUUGAGUCGGGCUUUCAUGUGAUUUGAAGUGAUUUCUAGUCUUGAAAUUAAUUUGGAUAAGAGUGAGUUAAUCCUAGUGAGAGAGGUUUCUAAUGUAGAAGAGUUGGUUAGGGUGGUGGGGUGUAAAGUGGGCGCUCUUCUUCUACUAUUUUGGGUCUACCUUUGGGCACUUCCUUCAAGUCUUUUCUCGUCUAGGAUGUAGUAGAGGAAAGAUUUUAGAAAAGACUCGCUAUGUGGAAAAGACAAUACUUAUUGAAAGGAGGGAGAUUGACUUUAGUUAAGAGACUUUAUCUAGUCUACCAAUCUACUAUAUGUCUUUAUUUGUAAUCCCAUGUAACGUGAGCCUUAGAGUGGAGAAGCUUCAAAGAGAUUUCCUUUGUUGGGGGGGGGGGGGGGGGAGGGAGAUUGACUUUAGUUAAGAGACUUUAUCUAGUCUACCAAUCUACUAUAUGUCUUUAUUUGUAAUCCCAUGUAAUGUGAGCCUUAGAUUGGAGAAGCUUCAAAGAGAUUUCCUUUGGGUGGGGGGCGAGGAGAGCUCCAAAGAAAGCCUCAUUUAGGGAAUUGGUCAUUAGUUAGCUUGGAUAAAAUGGAUGGAGGUUUGGGGAUUAGAAAGUUGUUCACUUUUAACAAAGCCCUCAUUGGAAAAUGGAGCUAGAGAUUUGCUUAUGAGAAUGAGGUUCUGAGGAAGUUGGUGAUUGUAGGGAAGUAUGGAGAGGAAGAAGGGGUGUGGUGUUCUAGAGUUUCGAGGGAAGGUUAUGGGAUGGGUCUUUGGAAGGCAAUCGACAAUGGGUGGAAGGAAUUCAACAACAUGGUUGUUUUUAGGGUAGGCAAUGGUAGGAGGGUGAGGUUUUGGAAGGGUAGGUGGUGUGGGGAGGAUCCUUUGGUAGAGGCUUUUCCAGAGUUGUUUUCAAUUGUCAUUGAUAAAGAAGCUUGGGUAAACCAGAUGUGGGAGCAAGUUGGGGAAGGGGGUUAUUGGAACCUAGUGUUCAUAAGACAGAUAAAUGAUUGAGAAUUGGGAGAGGUGGAAGAGUUGCUUAAUAGGUUGCAAGGGCAAGUGAUCAGAAGUGGUGUUGAGGAUGUUAUGGUUUAGCAGGUAACAAAGGGAGGCACCUUUACAAUGAAGUCCUUUUACUACUCCCUAAUAGGACGUUCUCCAAAAGGCUUCCUAUUAGGUAUUGUGUGGAACCCUUUUGUCUCGAUGAGAGUCAGUUUUUUUGCUUGGGAAGCAGUUUGGGAAAUUUUUUUAAAUCUAGAUCAACUAAAAAGGAGGGGUUGGUGUCUUCCAAGCAGAUGUUGUUUGUGUAAAGAUGAAGAGGAUUCAGCAAACCAUAUCCUUCUCCAUUGUCCAAAGGCGACCUUGUUGUGGCACCUCAUCCUUGCUCUUUUUAAUGUCCAAUGGGUAAUGCCUUUCUCAAUCAAGGAUACCUUUCUUAGUUGGCGGGGAUCCUUUGUUGGGAAGAAAAGAAAGAAGGCGUGGAGAGCAGCUCCUUUAUAGUUAUUUUGGACCCUUUGGAAAGAGAGAAAUCAAAGAGCCUUUGAAGAUUUAGACUUGACAGACCAUGCUAUUUUAUGCUCCUUCAUGUACAUGUUUUUGGAGUAGGUUAGGGUACAUUUAGGGUCUAACACUUUGUCUUUAUUCGACUUUAUUGAUAGGUUGGGUUGUAAGUGAAGUGAGGGGGGUGUUUUUUUUUGUGAAUCACUCUCUUUUUUGGCCUUGUAUACAUCGUGUAUACUUUAGACGCUUUUAAUACAAAUGCUUUUACCUAUCAAAAAAAAAAAAAAAAAGAAAUCUUUCACCCCUUUUAGUAAAAUAACCAAACUCUUUUCUCCAAGUCUAAUCCAACUUGAAAAUCCCUGACCCCUCUCCAAUAUCUUGCCUACAACCUGUCCUUUCGCCACCUUGACUUUGAUCUCAAAGGAUUUAGACUCUACUCUAAACCAGCCUUUACCUAUUAAUGUAGUUUGUUUCCUUUGUGCCAUACACACCAUAACAAGCAAGGAGGAGCCAUGUUCUCAACCCUCCUUGUCUUUUGUCUAUACCCCCUUCACUUUCCAACCAAAAAUUAGCUCUUUCACAAAAUCUGGAAGCACCCACAGCAACCUUAAAAUUGCUAACAUGUUCCACAAGUUUGUGAUUUUGACACAAUAGACUAGGAUGUGGUUCGUUGAUUCCUUAUUGAUGCAUCUAUUGGCAUCAGCCAUCCUCUCCUUAUAAGGACAUCAAUGGGUAUGAUUUUUCUCCAUGUAGCCUCCCAAGCAACCCCCCAAAAAAAAAAAGAAAAGUUCUCAAAGGGGCGUAAAUGCCCCAAAUUUCUUUGGUGGGGAUCAAAACUUGAAUCUCAUCAUGUAAGAAGUUGUAGAAAGAUUUUACUUGGAAAAUCCUAUUUUUCUCCUCCCUUUAAAGAAAACUAUCCUCCCAUUCUUUUCGUACUCUUAACCUUGUGGAAAUGCUUCAUAAAUUGCAUCACAACCCCCAACUUCCAAUCUUGAAAAUGUCUUCUUAGAAGAAGGGACUGGGAGCCUUCUUUCUCCAUUACUACCCACAAGUCAGACACCGUUGCAUUUCUAUUAGAGGCAAUCUCAAAUAGUUGAAGAAGCAAAUCUUUCAUGGCACACUCACCCAUCAUUAGACCAUUUGGUUUUGAGGUUUUUCCUAACCAGAAUAGAGGUUCUAAGGCUAAAUUCUUCCCAUCCUCUUAUUGCUUUCCAUAAACCCAUAGUACAAGCUUCUCUCACCUCUACAGUGUACCACCCUCCGCCACCUCUUCAUAUUUGUCUUCGAUUAUCCUCCUGCUUAGGCUAUUGUGCUCAAGGUCAUGUCUGCACAACCAUUUGCCUACCAAGGCUUUAUUAAGAACAUCCAACUUUCUAAUAUUGAAUCCUCCAUUCCUCUUAUCUUACACACUUCUCCAAUUCACAAUGUGCAAUUGUCUCUCCUUAAAAUGACUCCCUCACAAGAAAUCUCUCUGAUAUUUUUUCUAACCUACUCACUUCCUUAAGUAUCAUAAAAAGGGACAUGAAAUAUAUGGGAAAGCUUGUGAAAGUACACUUUAUGAGGGUCAAUCUUUCUUCCUUUUUUCAAGUACCCUUUCUUUUAAGGUGCCAAUUUCCUUUUGAACCUCUUCUUAAUUGAAUCCCAUACCAUAAAAGACUUUAUUAUAUGCUCCCAAAGGCAGCCUAAGAUAGAUGGAAGGGAGACUUCCAACCACCUAAACAAUAUGGCCAAAUAUCUAAAUCUUCCACUUCACUAAUCAAAAUUAUCUCGCUCUUUUUCAAUUUAACUUUCAAACCUGACACAAACUCAAGCCCAUUUCCAAUACUUCUAUUGCUUAACAUUAGCCUUGGGAAAAAAAAGAAAAGAAGAAACUGGAGUGUCAUAUGCAAACAAUACAUUUUGAUGCUCCAACUCACCUUGGUAAUCACCUUUUUUUAGCCUAUUUGUCAAGACAGCUAGGAGUUUAUAGAUGCUCCCAAAUCAGCCUAAAGUCCUUGAUAUCUUCCACACCUUCCUUUUUAGGAAUAUGAACAAAAAAUGUAGCAAAAGAUAUUCCAAUCUUGUGGUGGAUUGCAUUAGUCAACCUUUUUUUUUUUCUUGUUGAUUUGGAAAGAAAAAAGGUAUUCCUCAAGAUGUCCAUGCUCUCAUUUCUUGACAAAUUAGUAAUGUAAUCACCCUUAGAAAGAGAGCUAGAGCACAUAUAUCUUGAAUUAUAGCUCUCGUGUUCUAGUUGGAAGAAGAUAAUUAAGGCAACUAGAAUCUAAUUUGAGAAUAAUCUUGUGCAAAAUGCCAUAAGUUCUAGCAUGAAGCUGAUUUUCCAGAACAUUUAGAAUAAAUGGAAUUUACAAAAGAAGAUAAACUUAGAUGCUUUUCACACCUUAUAACUUUUUAUUUAUUUUCUUACUUAGCUUAUGGUAAGCUUAUUUUUUGGAUCUCUUUCACCAAAGGAAUUUUUUGUCAUCUUCCAACCUUUGUUUUUUUUACUCGCAUGCAAGGUUUGAUGUAUCAGCCAAUCUAGGUACACAACUUGACCAAGUUGUAUCCACCUCGGCCAAGCCUGUUCCAAUUCCAAUAUCCAAGUUUUUUUAACUUGGAGAUGAUAUGGUGGUCUGAGGGAAAAAUCGAAGAUGACUCAUUCUUUGAUGCUAUUUUUUAUUUUUUGUGGAAAAAUGGUUUGGGCCUAGAUUUCAUCCAUGUUUUCCAAUAAAAUGAGUAGAGAUGAUUGAGGUGCCGAUGUGGUGUGGAUUGAUUCAAAAGGGAGGAGCAGCCCGAAACUUGUGGAGAGGGAAUAUGUUUGAUUUAGAAAUGGAAUCUGGAUUUUUUGGAGCUAGAAAUAUGGUUUUAUUCUACUCAGUUGUAGUGAAAGAAAAAAUGGGUUUGAAAGAGAAGAAGAGGUUUUAUUCCACUCAGUUGUAGAGAGAGAAAAAAUGGGUUUGAAAGAGGAGAAGAGAGCAGGUGAUGAAGAAUAAUGAAUAAUGAAUGGGGUAAUGGGUAUUUGGGGUAAAUGGGGUAAUGGGUUUUUAUGGUUUACCCAGUGGGUAUUUGGGUAUUUAUAUAAUGAAUAAUGAAUAUAAUGUGAGAAAUAGAAAUAUGGGAAUGUAGAUAUAAUUUGUAAGAAUUUAAUUUAAUUAUAUUUUAGAUAAAUUACUCAAUUUUUUUAAUACAAUUACAUAAGGUGUAUAAAUUAAAUUUUGUUAGAUAAUAUAUUACUAAAAAAAUUAACAAUUACUUGUAUCAACAUUAAAUCAAAUGGCGAUAAAUCAUUUUAAAAUUUUUAUAAUUAAUUAAAUUUAACAUGAAGUUAUUGAAUAAAAGGACUUUUAGUAUUAAAAACUAAUCAAACACACUUUUAUAAUUAUUUAAAUAAUAUUAAUUAUAAUUAAACCUAAAAUUUUAUUAUAUUUAAUUGUAUAUAUUUUGCAUAUCAUCUGAUAUCGACCCAAGAUACUGAGACUAAUGUGCCUUAGGACCUCUCGAGUUAAUGACCAAGACCAUAACUUUGAACCAUGCUCGCAUGAUUGCCUGCUUUGUUUGUAUUAGUGCUCUGAGUUGGUUUUAUAUUUUAUUCUUAUCCGUACUCCUACAUUAUAUGUAUUAUAUUUAUAUCCCUUAUAACUUCUUAUUUCAUUUUCAUUUUUUAUUUAUUUCCAUGUGUUUCUUUUUUCUUUUUUUCGUUUUUUUCCCAGUGUGGUUUGAUGUUUGAUGCGAUUGAAGAUAUAUGAAUUUUAUGUAAUUAUCAUUUGUUUUGGUCAUUGAUCGGUGUCCACAAUGCAGGAAGUAUAUGAGCAACAAAAAGAGCUAAUUUUAAUUGGAGAGAGGGUUGUACUUGCAACUCUAGGUUUUGACCUCAAUGUUCACCACCCAUAUAAACCCCUUGUUGAGGCAAUGAAAAAAUUCAAAGCCGCACAGGAUGCUCUUGCUCAGGUUGCAUGGAAUUUUGCUCUUGCUCAAGUUGCAUGGAAUUUUGUCAAUGAUGGGUAUGAUUAAGAUGCUUUUUCAUGUCUCUCUUUUUUGAUAGUUCCAUUUCAAAUGGUCUCUCUUCCUCUCUUUCUCUUCUUCACUCACACACUGGAAAGCGGCUUGCAGGCUGAGGACAUCACUCUGCCUGCAAUUUAAGCCCGACCACAUUGCAGCAGGUGCCAUUUUCCUUGCUGCCAAGUUUCUCAAAGUGAAGCUUCCAUCGGAUGGUGAGGUGGUCUGGUGGCAAGAAUUUGAUGUCACCCCACGCCAGUUGGAGGGUUGGUUUCCUCCCCUUUUUUGGUGUAAAAUUGGUAUGGACUCAAUGGGACAGUCUUCAAACAGCUCUGUGGCACUGUUGCUGCAUAUGGAUGGACUGACUGUAGUGUUAUAUAACCUAUUGAGAUCUUGUUUCUGAGAAUUGACAAAAUCAGAUGAUUGUAGCUGUCCUUUCUAUUAUGUUUACAAUGAAUGGCACCAGGUAAGAAAUGGUGAGCAUUCUGUUAUAAACAAUAAAAAAUGGUUGGUUAUAGUCAUCUGAUCAAGUCUAGCAUUUUCCAGAAUGACUAGUAGAAUAAACCAAAUUUUGUGCCAUGGGCAUUGCUGUUUCAUUCAUGGGGCUGUCCUUUUGCGUCUUCUUCGGGUGAACCUUUUUGGAUUUCCCUAACAUUAUGGUUAUUUGUCUUGCAGAGAUUAGCAAUCAAAUGUUGGAACUGUAUGAGCAAAACAGAGUGCCUCCACCUCAAGGGAGUGAAAUGGAAGUUAACGCCAGUGGUGGACUAAACCAUAGGGGCACAACAAAAGCUCCAGUUGCCAAUGAGGAAUCCUUACCGGCUAAUAGUCAUGCUCAAGCAGGGGUUGGAGUGGUGUCUACAUUGAAGCCUGUAACUGCAAGGCAGUCAUGGCAUCGGCCAGCAUCUGACAAUUCAACUGCUGGUAAUCAUGGAGCACUCGUGAAAGGCACCCAAAAUCUAAGUAAUGAUAGUGGGAGCUCUGAGAUGGGUAGUGUUAUAACUGAUCAGAUGGCAGAUGGAGAGGCUCCGGGUGGAUUUAAAUCUGUGCCAGACCAGAUUGAGGGGGAUAAUGAAGAAGGGAAUGGUGGGAGAGAUGAUACCACAUCAACAAGAGAAUGGAAGAAUAAUGGUGCGUUACACAAGUCAGAGAGGGUGGUGGGUGGUCAAAAUAUGGAGACUCAAGAAGGAUCAUCACCCAAAUCACCUCAAGAUGGAAUGAUUAAAAUGAUUGACAAAGAUAAGGUGAAAGCAGCACUUGAGAAAAGGAGAAAGUCCCGUGGAGAGGUGAUCAGGAAAAAGGAGUUGGUGGAUGAGGAUGAUCUCAUUGAGAGGGAGCUGGAAGAUGGUGUUGAAUUGGAUGCCAAGGAUGAGAAGAUCAAGCGAGAGAGAAGGCAGAGCUGGUCUAAAACUGAGAGUCCCUGUUAUACCAAGGACCAAAAGCAUACAGGAGAUAGAAACCCCCUUGGAACGGAGGUAGAGAAUAUCGAAGAAGGGGAGAUGUUGGAUGACGCAUCGCCCAAGUUCAACAAUCGGAAGAGAAAGGAAAGGAGCCCACCUGAUAUACAGUCGGAGGCCAAAAAGUGGACUGAUUCUGCUCCUGGGUGCCACCACCGUAGUAAUCACCAAGGGCAUCCUUAAAAGUAGAAUUAUGUGAGGCCAUUUACUUACAGUAUUAGUAUAUGAUUUAUAUCUGGGAUGCCAAGACUUUUUCCAAGUAGUAGUAUUACACUAUUAUAUGAAUUGGAAUUGGAGGGUAGCUGGUUAUGGCAUGGUGUUUUUGGAUGUUUCAGUGGGGUUACUGGAAGGUGAUGGGAGGGCAUUUAUUUAUUUAUUCAUUUAUUGCCACGUUCAUGUUUGCUGCACUUGGUGAUUUAUUAUUAUGUUGUAUUACCCUGCCCCUCUAACAAUCACAACUCCAUAGCUAAUUCUUUUUGUUAGUGAUUAUUAUAUUCCUUAAAUAUCGAUAAGCCACGGAAUGCAUCAGUACAUACAAUUUCCUCUAGACGAUUGUUUUGUUUCUGUAGAAAUGGAAUUUGAGGCACCCAAAUGUUAUAUGAAAUAGGGUGGUGUUUGGUUCAUGAGUGGUGGGUCUCUUAAUGGUACUUUCUUAGCGAGAAUUGCAGCCACCCUCCACCACAGGGCUAGGUCAUGGAGAACACACGAGACGAGACCCAUGGGCCAAGCCCAUGGUGCCCCCGUCUCUUAUCCUCUCUCUCAACGUUAAUCACAGUCACUUAUCCAAUUUAAGAUUCUCAAACUAUCAAAAUUUAAUACCAUCUAAAUUCAGUUCAAGUGACAAUACUAAAUUUUAUAAAAUUAAUAUCUUACCUUGAGAAAAAUUAGAAAUUAAAAAGUUGUGCUAUGGUCUAUGAGGCUAUGAGAGUGGUGAUGGAUGGGCGGUUCAUAAUUCCCCAUAUAAAUUAUAAUGUUCGAGUGACUAUGCAACCCACACGCCUGUACCUGUCUCUUAUCCACUCUAGAUUUUAGGAUAGAAAAAGAGAGAGAUUCUAUCGCAUUAACCCACAAACCAAAAUCCCACACCCAAUCACACCCACCCACCUCACCCUCCACCUUAUCCUCCUCUCCACCAAUCCCACCUCCCUUGGAAUCUAAAAACCAUUCCUCAGUCCUCCGUCCUCAACUCUUCCAUCUCCAUUUCUGUCCAACUCCCCUGCCAACUCGCCAACAAUGUCUCUCACCAUCCCCACAAACCUCUCCAAGCCCCUCAAGCCAAGGCUCAGCUCUCCCUCCUUCCAAAAGGCAAGGCCUAUGAUAGUGUGCUCAGCCUCAACUGAGCCACAGCCCACCAACAAAUCUCCACUCCAAGCAUUCUCUGCUGCGCUUGCACUCUCCUCCAUCAUUCUAGCUGCUCCAGUCCCUGCCUAUGCUGACAUCGCCGGGCUCACACCCUGCAAGGAGUCCAAAC